UUCCUUUUUUUUUUUUUUUUUUUUUUUUUUUUUUUUUGCAAAGAAUGCUAUAUGAUUCCCCUCCAUCUUUCCUAAGUUAUUUAAGUUGUCUUAGAGCUCGUUUAGAAAUGAUUUUAAAAAGGCCAAUAAUCACUUUUGUGGAGAAUCACUUCUCCAUAUAAUCAGUUUAAGUGAUUUUAACGGAGAAUGACCUCCCAUGUUCUUUUUCCUAUAAUCACUUAAAAAAUCACUAAAAAUAAUUAUAUAGAGAAGCAUGUGGCGAGCUUCGUUUUUAUAAUUCAAAUGAGCCCUUAGAUGAUCUUUCUAGGACAAGGCAAGUGUCGUUUGUAUAAUUCCAUUUAGGCUUUGUACCACCCUAAUUACUUAAUAAAAAAGUAGAAAAAAUUAUAUUACAGGCUUCCGUUUCCAAUUUUAGCGAUGGGCUUGUUCUUUUGGUAUGGACAUGAUUAUGUGGGAAAGACAAGAGUGUGUAUGAAUGGAGAGAAACUCUCAUGUAAGGGUAUAACACUUUUUGCUAUCCCCGACUAAUAACGCAGUGACAUGUAGGAUAACUUUUCCACGUGUCAUUGUGUUAUUGGCCUGGGAUAGCAAAACAAUGCUAUCCCUGUUAUAGGUAAGUUUUUUUAGUAUGAAUGGCUUACCCCGUACAUGCCAUGAGAGUUAUUUUGAGCCACAAGAACGAGUGAAUAGAACUGUCUGCAUUGGGCUUUUUCCAAUUGUAAACAAACAAUUAGCUAAAGCCCAAAGUACAUACAUUUAUGGCAUAGUACUUGCUCCCUCCCUAGUUGCGGAAAGAAAAUUCGAAUUUAGGUGCAUAUCGUAUUAAUUUCUUUCAUUGAAUUCACUUGCUCCCUAAUAUCAAAAAGUUAGCAUGUCGUAUCAAUUUGUUAUGUGGAGUUGACUUGCUGCCUAUUUGUGAAUUGAGCCAUGCUGCUUAGUAAACUUGGAAAGUUUAAGAAACUCAUUUUCAAGUUCCAAUUUACAAGAAGUUGGGGUCGCUCUCUCGUUCAUGCGAGGAGAACCUUGAUGGUUAGGGUUAGAGUUUCUCUAGUUUUCUUUACUCAUUCUAUGUGCCGUCUCUCUCAGUAUUCUCUGAUUGUCUUUUUGUGUUCUUCUUGAUGAAUUGGGUUUGACGUUUUUUUCGCUCUUUUGUUCUUCGUGGGAUGGCUGCGUUGGCUUCCUUUUUGGGUUCAUGAGGAGCCAAUCGCUGGUGAGGGGUCUCCAUCUUAACGCUAUGGAGAUGGCCAUCGCCUCUUUUGCUCAAGGGGAUGACAAGUAUGCGGCACCAAACGAGAAUCAGAAGCGUGCGAAAAUUGGUGUUGGGCAUCUGAUUGUUAGUGGCAUGGAUUUUUCUGAUAAGCAUAGUUUUUGUAUCAAGGAUUUUGUUGACAAGGCAGAGGAGACCAGCCUAGAAGGGUCUCCAAGAUCUCCCUUAAUAAUUCUCCUAUGGAACGUUCGUGGGCUUGGCAACCGAUGAACGUUCCUAUUAUGAAGAUCUUUCUUUGGAAUUUUCUUCAGGCUAAGAGGCCAAUCUUGGUCUCCCUUGCUUGUCAGUUGGUGUUCUAGAUCAAGAAAAAUAGUGGUGGCGGUUGGUGUUUAGCUGGAUCUGUUAUGAUGCUUACAAUACGUUUUUGACUCUGUACGAAGAACUAUGAUGCUUUCUUUAGAUCAUAAGAGGCUUUCUUUGACAGUAUAUGCGUAGUGAUGGGAUGUGUUUCAAUGAUUUUGCGGUUGGGUGAUUGGCUGGAUCUAUUCUGUUACCCAUAGUAUGUUUUUGACUAUGUACGAAGAACUAUGAUGUUUUUUCUAGAUCAUAUGAGGACUUCUUUGACAGUACCUAUGUAGUGAUGAGAUGUUUUAAGGGUUUUGUGGUUAGGGAUUAGGUUGGUUUGUUUCGUAUAAGUUGUUUGACUCUUCUAUUUAGUCAAUAGCAUGGGUGAUACUCUUUUCUACCCCGAGAUUUUGUUUUUCUGAGAGAGUUUUAACGAGGCCGCCGUUAACAUGCUAGUUCUUACCAUGUAAUAUUCCUUUUGGUUUAAUGAAAUAUCAUCUUUUCUUUUAAAAAAAAAAAAAAUCCAAUUUAUAAAAAUAAAUGUAAUAUUUUUCUAUAAAAUAUAUAGAAAAUCAUUAGUGGAAAUUUUUUUUUUUUUUACAAUAAUAGUGUAUCCUUUUAUUUUUGGUUUUUUCAGAAAUAAAGUGGCCCAAGUGGGGUGCCACGGCUUUUUAUGGAAAACGUACAAGUGCUUGGUCCAAAUUGCGGUGGGGGUGACGAUCGAUCUCCAUCUCCAAGCCUUCUAUUAAAGGCAACAUUUCAUCCCUUUUUCUUCAUUGCAGGCUCAUUCAUUCAUAGCAAUCCUGUAUCUUCUUUUUCUCAGGCGGGACACAUCCCCAGUUUGUGCGUGAAUCGAACCCCAUCACAGCCGUCCAUCUUUAUGAUCACGAUGUUAACUCAAUCCAAUGGUGUUAGAUUCACGCACAAACUCGGGAUAUGUCUCCUCUUUAUAACACUGCCGUAUUUCUCUUAUUUCCCUUUUUUUUUUCUUUUUUUUUGUUUUCCAGUUACUUUUCGUUCCAAAAAUUAAAAAAACCAUUCAUUUUGGCGCCAAUUCGGAUUACAUUUUCCCUCUCAAUUAAUCUGUUCACUCAGUCACAGACUCACAGUAAAAGAAGACACUCGAAUUAGCGAACAGAGGAAAAAUCCCGGGAAUUCUGAUGGCUUCAGCUUCGGAUUUAGGGUCAACGGAUGAUUACGAGGCGUUGAUGUCGAUGACCGAUGUGGAGCUUUUGAAGAGCGCGUGGCGGCAAGAGAAGGCCGCUCCGGAGAUUCUUCAGUUCGAGAGUCGUUUGAUUAAGAGAGUCAGAGAGCAGAUCCAACUGAUGGUAAAUUCCCUGAAACUCAAAAACUGGGAGGAAAAAAAAACCCUAAUUCCCUUGUUUGGUUCCUCAGAAAUUGACAGGAAAAUGAAAGCAAAAUUCAAUUUCACGGUGGAAAUUUCUAAUCUAACUUUCCUGCUUAUGUUGUAUUGUAUAUGUACCGUAAAACAAUCAGGAUUUUAGGUGAAAUGAUGAGUACCUGAGAAAAAUUACUAGUGCUUUUUUCUUAUUUUCUUUAUUUAUUUUAUAAUUCUGAAUUUUUUUUUUUAUAAUUCUGAAAUUUCAAAAGAAAAUGUUUAGUUUAGGAUCUCAAUUAGGUUGGAAAGGGUGCUAGAUGCUAUUAUUGGGUGGCAAACAAGCUUUUGCAAGUAGAUGAAAUGCUUGUGCUAGUAUUAUUUGCGGUUGUGUUAUUGCUCACUCCAAUUAGAUGCAUAUAAUUACAGGAAGAAACCGUGGAGGAAUUUACUGAAAGUGGUUUUGAUCCACUUACUGUGUCACUCUACCAGAUGGAUUUGGACAGGACUCAGUUCUUGUUGAGAUCUUAUCUACGAAUUCGUUUGCAGAAGGUGGCCAUCUUCUCUCCUUGUUUUGUUAAUGCGUGCAUGCUUGUUUUUUCAUUGCAUUUGAAAUCAACUGUUUGGUUCUUUGAUUAUAUUUUUGGUAUUAGAGAAACAGGAGCACUCACCAUGCUUGAUGAUAAUUUGAUCAAAAGAAAGUCCAAUAGUGAAUUCUAAGUUGCUUGCUAUAAGUAUUAGGAAAUUGCCCGAAAUCUUCCAGUGGUUUUAGAUGUUAAAUUCCACAAGGUUUCUCAAGAACGUGUUGGUUGAACUUUGCUGUUUGUAUUUCAAGCAACUUCCUUUUGCAGAUUGAGAAAUACAUGUUUCACAUCUUUGCUACCGCCGAACUUCUAACACGUCUAUCUAAAGAGGAGAAAUGGUUUAUUGAAAGGUGAGGACUCUAGCUGUUUUAUUAGUUUGUGUUCUUUUAGUUACAGCACAUACUUUAGGUUUAUUGUGGUUUAGAGUUGACAUGGUUAUUGCUUACAGGUGCUGUGUUGAUUUGCAGACGCAUCUUGAAAAGAGUGUCCUGUCGCAAUUGCCUUAUACUUAUCAGUCUAUAUUUCAGCAAUCUGUAAUUAAUGAUGAGACUGACAUGGGUACGGACUCACAUUAUCUUUUUUCAGAUUUUGGUGAUGCAUCUCUGUUUUUUUCCCCUUGAAUGUGAAUGUGUUCUGCGAACAGUUGUAUCAUUUUCUGCAAACUUCUUAUCCUUGACCCAAAAUCAAUUAUAAAAUAAGGUGCUCAGUGCUGUGGUUAAUAUUUGAAUUUUUCAUUCCAAGAUAUCUAGUUGUGUGGUGACCUUUAGUACAAUUUACCUGAGAGGUUUAGAUUUUCUGAUAUAGUCUGGCAGAUUCAUAUAUCUUGCAGCAGAACUGUUUUAAAGUUUGAUGUGAUUAGUGUUUGGAAUUGUGCUAAUAGAAACUUGUAAAUACUGUGCGUUUGCAUUCUGUGAGGGAACCAGCGACAAGCUAGUGUAUGGGGCUGAGAAUUUGUUCCAAAUUCUUCUGAACUAUUUGCCUUCUAAACCCUAAACCCUUAUUUAUCAGAAAACAAUGCAAUAGUUUGUUUGACAACUUGAAAUGCUUAGCUUCCCAUGUAGUCUUGGUCUGUCUCUUCUUGGAUGAGUUCUUAAUGCUCUUUUGGUGUCUUGAUCUAACUCCAUAGAAUUAUCUUCACACUUCACAUGCUUCUUCUACAAUGAUUUUUGUGUACUAUUUCUUCUAGACAGAUGUUUUUCAUUGUGCAUAUAUAAUAGGCAAUUUGUAGAUUAGACAUGUGAACUCAAAUAGUGUUAUGUAUAUGUUUAACUUCCAGUGGCAAAACCGCAAUUGGACACAUUUAUUGUCUGCAAAACCAAGUAUUAUCUUGGACAUAUCCAGCUUGAGGACAAUGCAGAUGGAGAACCAGAUGGCAGGUAACUUAUUAUUCAUAAACAUUUACUUUCAUAGAAAAUGUUGUUUGUAUUCUUCUUUUUUGCUUACUGGUUUCAGUUCACAAUAUGACAGUGGGAGCCAGAAACCAUUGGAGGAGCCUUUUGAGAUGGAGCCCAAUGUUUUAUACUUUGUACGUUAUAAAGCAGUGAAGAAAUUUGUAGAGGAAGGGAAGAUUGAUUUAUACUGAGUAUCCAGCAUCUUGGGGUAAAUAGCUUUGAGACCUCCUCUAUCUCAAAAUAUGAUAUCAUUGUAUCUCCCCACCUCUUGCCUUACCGGUUUCUUGAGAAACUAUUAACAUGGCAAGUCAUGGGAGUGAGUUUUCGAGCAACAUUGAAUUGAAUGGUUUUCUAUCUACGUUUCUUUGGGGUAAAAGUCAUUUUUGAUUUAUGUAGUUAGUUAGUUUUACCAUUUUGGUCCCCAUAGUUUCAAUUGUCAAUUUUAUCCCCGUAGUUUUUCAAUUUUGUAAAUUUUAUCUGUGUAGUUUUCAAUUCGAAGCAAUUCAAGGACAUGUUUCAGUUUCAAUCAAAAUUUCUCCAAAUUCCAUUAAGUUUUGACCACGUGCUCUUCGCGUAUAGGGGUAUUUUGGUCCACUUGAGCCAAAAUCCUCCCAGUUCAAUCAAAUUUUAACCCAGUGAUGCAAAAAAAUUUGAAACCCGAAACUCCAAAAUCGCUCCUAAAGUGAAUCGGAAGAGCUUCAUCUUGUGUUUUACAGUUAGAUGGGCUUGAGUGAAUUGAAAUACCCCUCCACCUUCACAUGAGGGGCACGUGGUCAAAACGUAACGAAAUUUGGAGGAAUUCAAUAGAAAUUGAAAUGUGUGUUUGAAUUGCUUCAAAUGGAAACUACAAAGAUAAAAUUGAAACUAUAGAGACUAAAGUAGUAAAAUUAACAAACUACAAGAAUCAAAAGUGAACUUUGGCCAAAGGUGCCAUCUUUAGAAGAAAAGAACAAAUAUGCUAAUAUGCUGAUAUGGUAUCUGUACUGUAGUAUGUGCUUAAUAUGCCACGAUGUCUUUAGAAGAAAAUAUCGCACACUGUGAUAAAAGGAAAUCCAAAAGAUUCCCUGCAUGUGAUAUGCGUCUAUGGAGCCAAGUGCUAACAAACAAAACAAACACAUAAUAAAAGAAACCCGACGGAAACGAAACAGGACCCCUACAAAUUUUGCACUGGCAUCACUCACUUGAUUCAAAUUCAAACAAAACCAUAAUUUUGUUUCCCACCACCUCGGAUUGCCUGGGAAAUAUAAAAUAAAAUCCUCCUCCUAGUUCUACCCUAGCUAGCUGGAGCGUUUUGCUCCAUGUAAAUAAUUAAAUACAUUUAUUAUUGUUACAUAAACAAGAAUUAAGACCUGGCAACUGGCCAACGACUCAAUGAGAGGACAAAGUCUCUAGCUAGCCGACAUGAUCAACGGCCAAGAUCUUGAGCAAGCCAGCAUAAGACACGCCUUGGUUGUCAUCGCCACCUCCCAAUAUAAUCAUGGCCUUGAUGUCUUCAUCAGUGGCGGCGAAGCCAGCCGCGCUCAUGUAGCUCUUCAAAUCCUCAUGGCCGAGCUUCCCAUCCCCGUCCUUGUCCAUAACCUUAAACGCGUCCUCCAUCACUCCCCACGAGCUUCUUGCACCGCCGCCGCCGCCCAAAACGCGCUCGAACUCGUCGUAUUGGACGAAGCCGUCCUUGUUGGAAUCGGCGACCGACAUCAUCGAUCCGAUGAGAUUUUCGUCGGCGCCGGAGCUGGAAAAUCCGGCGUAGAAGGCCCGGAGAUCGUCUUUGCUGAUCUUGCCGUCGCGGUCGGAGUCGAGGGCGUCGAAGGCUGGCCGGAAAUCUGAGGUCAUGGUCGUCGUCGUGGCGGUCUCUGCGCAGAGGGUGCGGCCAGAGGGACACAUUGUGAUGCUAAUUGCGGCGUGUGGUUGGUGUUUAGAAACGAAGAAUCGAGUCGUAGACUGGCUCGUAUGGAGGAAAAUUAUUGAUUGAGUUGCGGAAGAGAGAGAGGCCUUGUGGUAUUUAUAGAUGGAAGGGAAGAGAGGGGGGCCCACAAUGGCUUGGUUCACAAGGUUUUGAUUGAGAGGCUACGUAUGGAGUGACGUAGUUAAGAGUUUUGGGGUGGGGGUGUCCUUUGUUUGAGGAUUUUGUGUGUGGGGAGAGAGACUUUCAUAGCUAAGUUUUUCUCGUAUGGGGGACUGAGACAGACUGGUAGGUUAGUCAUUUAUUGGACUUUGACGGAGUCCACGGCCAAAAGGUAUGCAGAACCAGCCAACAAGGAGGUGUCUGUAUCUCCUCCAUAAGUAUCUCCUCCAUAAGUGUGGUUCAACAUCAAUUUUAUUCCAUGAGCAUGACAACCAAUGGUACACGACAUCACUAAUCAAGUAUCAAGAUUUGAAUUAGUUGGAUUUCAAACCAAAAUUCCUACAUAAAAUCCCAAAUGCUAAAAUUCAUACAUCAACUCCCAAACUAUAGAAUUCAUAUCUAAAACCCCAAAAUAUCUUUUGUGCAUUCCAACGGUAUCUAAUUCUCUCCACUCCUUUCACUUUAGGCAAAUGCUCAUUGUAUAAUUUAUAUUGUUACAUGGACUUGAUGCUACAUGUCCAUAUGCCAAUCAAGUAAUGAAAGCGAGUUACCCUUAUGACUAUGGUCGAGGGUUUCGUAGCAGUUUGAAACUGAGCAAAAGAGCCUACUGACUAUGGGACUAGAAACACUUUCACGAAAACAAGAAUAUUACUAUUUUGUUAUUUUCAACUAAUAAUGCUAUGAUAUACGUGAUAACUUUUCCACAUGAUAUAACAUUAUUGACUGAAAUUAGCAAAAUAGUGUUAUUCCCCAUUGCAAUCAAAAUUUUCUACUAUGGGACAUGUAAUGGCUUGGCGCCUUAAGUGAGACGCCUAUGCAGAACAAAAUUUGGGUUUUCUUCGCCCUUUUUCUCUUUGGGCCCAUGAGGCCAGGGAAGUUUUGGGUUUGUGGUUCAUUCAUUUGGGUUGUUCAUGUUGGAAACAAACGAGCCGAAAUAAUGGCAAAUUCGUAAUAUCAUUGAUAAGAAUGGGCUUCUCAUAGGCUAAACCUCAAAUAUUUCAAGGGCGAAAACCCUAAUUCUAAAUUCCAGUAUUUAAACACAACCACGCCACGCCUAGCAAACACCAGUAGCCUUAGGUCGCAACCUCCCUCCAUAUUCUCCCUCCCCGCUUCUUCUCUCUGUCCUCAUCUCUUUUUCUUCAUUUAAAAGAAGGAGAAAUACCUGUGGUGAUUGGUAUAGUGCCUCUUGAUGAAGCCUUGGGUCUUAAUUAAUUUGGAGCCAGGGUUUUAUAUUCUUAUAAAGAAUAGGAGGUAAAUUUCGUGCAGGAAUGUUGAGUCACUUCGCCUUUGAACAAUUACCAGGCUCAGUGAAUAACACCCUGCCACAUCCUCCUCUUUUUCUAUUGAUUUUGCCCACUUCAAUUUUAUUUUUGCACGAUUUUGAAUUUCUUUGUUGUUUUUGCAAUUGAUAUUUUCAGUUUGAUUGUAAAAAAAGAUUCACUGCAUAUGGGGUUCCGAUGAUGGUAUGAAAUCUUUGAGACCUGAUCAUCCAAUUGAUGAUAACUAUAAGCAUGGUUUCUGAGGAUCCCUUAUUAAUGUUAUUAAGAAAUUCAAACUUUCCCCAUCAAAAAACUCAGAUGGGCAUUUCGUAUUUUACUUUGAAAAAUGUGUUGGAUUUUGGACUGAUGAUAUGCAAGUAUAGAUGAUGAAGUAUGCACUGGGCUCUGAGCAGCUCUAUGAGCUUCUUUUUGAUGGACAUUGCAGCCUAGAAAGCUAAUCUGAUAUACUCUCUGUCUUGUUCAAAAUUCAUUUACCCUUUUCCGUACUUGAGGUAGCUAACCCAAGCCAGCCCAGUUUUAUAAAAACUAAUUAUAAUUUAUAUGCUUCAUUGACAAACACAAAGUAAGACAGUAAAUUGCACUGGAAUAUGUGAACUCACACGGUUUAAAAUGUUUCCGGGACAGAUGAAGAUAAAUUAACGUGCCCCCUUUAGAACACUAAAAUAAAUGAAACGAAAUAACCUAAACCCUAAAAUAAAUGAAACGAAAGAAACAACUUGUACCCAAAAUAAAAGGAGGAAAAAUGUAGUAGGAUCCUAAUAUUGAUCCGGUAUGGAUGUUUCAGAAUGAGAAAUAACAGAAUGAUUACAUACAGCAAGCAAAUAUGCAGCAUUGACGUCUUGAUGUUCCAUUUAAAGUUAUGGUUGUUUGUCAUCGGGGCGAUCCUAAAUGAUCAAGUCGACAGAAAUUCUUUUGGAAAUUUAGAGCCCAAAAUUCUGCACUUGAGAUUUUGAAUGAAUGACAGAUUAGGAUCGAAAAAACAAAUAUAGAGAGAAAAAGAAAAACCUCUAGUAAAUAUUAAAGGAAAAAAAAAUAAUGCUACUCUUAUUACAUUUGUAAAUUGUAUAAGACAUUCCUAUACCUCUUUAUGCGGCAACUGAGGUGGACAUCCACAUCAAUUAAAAAUAUUUAAUAAUUUUCUUUUCUUUUAUGAUUGAUUCAAAUAUUUGUUUUUCUAAUUUUCUUAAUUAAAAUAUUCUUCAAUUAUUUAAUUGAUGUGGCAUAUUAUGACAUAUGGUAUAGAAAUAUAGGAUAAAAAUGUGGUAAGUGUAGAAUUACUACAAAAAUAAAAUGAUGAAACUCAGUACUUAGUUAUGUUUUUGGGAGAAAAUCAAUAUUCUUAGUUCCAGACUUUAAGUUCAAUAGAAUCAGGAAAGCUAUUAUCACAAGCAGUAUAUUUGUACCCAAAGAUCAAAACUAGAAAUUCCUGAUGUGUAUUUAAAACCAAGUUUUAAAAGGUAAGUACAGAUAGAGUCUGGUCAGUCAUAAUUCCAAGGCUACAAGCUUCAUGCUGUAAUCUGUUCUAGUUAACUAACUUGGCUAGAACAACGCAGUGACAGAGCGUGCUGCAAAAUUUUCAAAGUUUCUGUGUCUAACAUUUUGCCCCUGCAUUUCUUCAGUGUGAGAGACAUCUGUGCCUCGCGAAUCAGGGUUGAUGGGUAUCCGUUUUGCCAUAAAAUAUCUAAACUAGAGUCAGCGCACGGGAGAUGAAAAGAAAAUGACAACAAAAUAUACAACGAAUCCGGCAAUAAGAAUCCCCCCAUAGAUAUAAGUUUGAGAUGCCUGCACAGGAUAUUUGUACUCAAUGUCGCAGCAUUUCAUCUUGUCCCUCUCAUUGGCCAGAACAUGGUCUACGUACCUGCAUCGUGCAAAUGAUUAUUAGCAAUUAAAUUGAGAAACCCUGCUCCACUGAUCUUCAGGUUCCAAAAACCACUGAUAGCCUUUUACUGCAUGGGAAAUCACAAUACGAAACAAAACUAAACCCAUACAAUACAGCCACUUACUGCUGGGUAAAUAUGGAACUCUGGAGAAUUUCCGAACUGUUCAAAUGUGCAUCUUGUAAGCGAUGGCCAUAUAACGAUGAAGACAACUCUACAAGCUGUUCCUCAAGGGUCUGUUGUUUAGAUUGUCUUACAUGAGUUAAUAAUCUUCAAGAUGUUUGAGAAACACAGGAAUUUUAAAAGUAGGAAUGACUUACAUCCAAGUAGUUCUCCAAUCUAUCAACUAAUUCGUGUGGGAACGGUUCAGGCAAGUUAGUUGUCUUUUUGUAAAACUUCUCCACCCAUAGUUCAGUGGUUGUUUUGUUCCUCUUUCCCUUCACUGGUUCACCAAGCGGAGUUUUUAGAUACUGUGCUGCAAAAGUUUGUACAGCCUGCAGAAAAUUGGAAACCAUAUACGCAUAAAAUCAUACAACUAAUUUCUAAUAAAAGCCCAAAUGAAAGAGCAAAUUACCUCUGACGUCUCACGAAUUCUGUGGAGAGCAGAAUCUACACGUGCAUAUAUUGUGUUCCUCUGCCAAAAAGAUUAACAAUUACUUUAGAUAUCACAAUCUUAAAGAAUGUGUCUAUACAUUUUUAUGUCUGUCUGUGUGUGCCAACUUGCAAAUAUAUGGUCAUCUUGAAGCAAAUGCUGAAGUGUCAUUUAUGAUAGUUGUGCAAAAUUUGGCAUUGUAAGACUGGCCUUACCAAUGCAACAUCCUGAAGCAUUUGACUGACUUGAGAAGUAUUAGAGAAUGGUCCAAAUGGAUGACAACCUGCUGCCCAAAGCCAAUUCACAACUGACCUUUCAUGUACAUGAGAAGCCUUUUCAUAUGGUGCACUCAACCCGCCAACAGCGGAAGCAAGUCCUGCCAAUAUAUGGCGCUGUGCCUGAGAUGGAAAGGCAUGCCUCCUCUGAGUUUCUGAAACAUAACUGCGCACCAAGACAUUUCAACAAAACAGUUAAAAAAUUCUUAUGGAACAGGAGGGGGAGAAGCACAUCAAAAUCAACUCUAAAUGAAAGCCACAGAAACAUGAGUGGCGUAUCAAUCAGAGACCAUAAUGUAAAACAUAAAACUUGUAUUUUGCAAUGAAGGAACUGCUGUAGUUGGUUCUUAAGAAAAAUCACAUAGAUCCUAGAAAUGUAAUAAAUUAUACAAUACUUCAGAGUUUAGACAAUUUCACUGGUUGAAUGAUGUCCUAAUUUUACCAGAAGUAUAACUAAAUGCUAGGAGGGCUUGACAUUGCCUAAGUUAAAGGUGUUACAGAAUAUGACAAGAUAGUUUCAAGUAGUUAGAAAAGCCACAAUGUACUAUGCUGAACCCUGCACAGACUUCAAAGUAAAACAGAUUUGACUCAAUACCCUUCUUUGAUGUUUACCCAUCCACAUGACAUAUGUUUUAACUAGGAAAAGUUAGCAAAAUAGCUGUGACUAACCAAUACAUUAUAGUGAUUGAAACACAAACAGUACAUGUUCAAUGAUGCUACAAUGCUGGAAGCCUGGCAAUAAAUCACUGUUUCCUCACCUAAGAGGUAUCUUUUCAUUUUGAUGCUCAAGUACAAUCACUACAUCUUUGCUUGUCCAUACAAGACUUUCAUCUUCCAUCAUAAGGUGUGGAUCCACAUCAGCCAAUGAUAGCACAAAACUGUGGAAAAAAAAGAAAGAUAUCAAACAAUUAUUUACAGCAAUCAUUACAGAUUAAUUUGAUGAGUGAUGCAUGCUAUAUGUUGCUAGCACUGUCGUAAAAAACAGGUAAGGACACCCAGAAUUACCUCCAAACUUCUAGUUACCAGAGAUAGGUGACAGUACAUGUCAUUAAAAAUUCGAAGCAAGCCUUGAAAAGUUAUAUGCAACAGAAAUCUGAAUAAUUAACUAUAAAAUUCAAUGAUCAUAUCUUCAUGCUAAAUUUCUGGGUAGCAGGCUAUACAUAAAAAUGCGGAAAUAGUUAAGCAAGACGGACUCAACAAAAGCAUGUUACAUGUAAAUUAUAUGAAAGAAGAAUGAAGACACCAUUAUGAGAAUAGUACUAAAAUUAUACUGCAGGGGAACUCAAGGUGGGAUGCUCACACAGGAAUCACUCUUGUUCCAUAAGUUCGGUAAAACUCUCCUUGUUUCCUUUCUAGUCUUUUUUUUUUCUUUCCGUGCUUUGAUUCAUAAGUGGACCAAAGAGGUUUAUGCUUUAGAAUAGAAUCACUUGAACCCUCGGAGUCAUCUGCCCAAUGCUGGGAAACAAAAAGUACAAAAAUUAGGGCAAUGAAGACAAGAAGGGAAGAAAAAUCUACUUAGAGCUUAAUAACAGAAGAAACAAGUCUCAGAGAACAAAAAUCAAUGUGAACAUUUGUUGCACCACAUGCAAAACAUGUACAACUGUAUCAGAUUUGACCAACCUGGCGGAGGAAAAAUUUACUUGAAAGAUUUGGGUCAGCCACCUCAAGCAAACCAGCAGCAAGCACAUCAGCAGAACGUUCCAUCUCCUGGAAUGAGCAUUUCUCAGUGAGAAAAGAAAAAUAGAACGUACAUAUAAUCUCACUAAUUCAAAUGCCAUCUAGGAAAGAAGCAUGAAUUUUUAACUCAAAAUAUGAUGACAUCUAAAUGUAAGGCCAAAAGUACACAGAAAUGCAUAUAGAAAGACAUUCAUGACACAAUUUUUCACCAAGAACCUCGCAAAUGGUAUGUAAAAUAGAAAUGAAUAAUUUGACACCAAAAUCACCGGGUAACGAAAUUUGAUGACAUUAGGAUAAAUAAAGAAGUACCCACUUCUUUAAGAAUAGCUCCAUCCAGAUAUGUCUUGGUAUGAACAUGGAAGCGCCCAUCGUUCUUAGUUUCUUGCAGGGAAUGGCUUCUCAUAGCUUUUGAAACAGCAAUCGACAACUUCUCAUGGCGAUGUAACGAAUGUGAACCCCCAACAAUCACAACUUCUUGCCCAGCAUGAACCAUUUUCUUCACCUGAAAAGGACAUAUCAAACAAAAAUGGAAGUGAUUUUGGGUUUAUGUAUUUCAAAUAAAAAAUAUGGAAUUACUCAUGGGAGAGGGUUGCUGCGACUGCAUGAUCCUAAAAGUGAAAGAGUUAUUCUUUCUUUACUCUGGCACUCGUUAACAUAGGCAAUCAUGAAGAUGUUGAGUUAUCCCAGAGAAAACAACCCACCUCUGCCUCAAUUGCUUCAAUAUUUAUACUGUAGUUGUGGCCUUUAUCUAUAAUGUUGUAGCGAUUAUGAUUUUGGAGGACAAUUAUUGGUAAAAGCAGCCUUGUUGUCAGGUCAACAGUUUCAAAUCUGAGUUAAGACCAUAAGCACAUGAUUAACAACCACAAAUAAAAAGUGCAUAAUUGUUAUAAACAACACCAUGCUUGGUGUCAAAUCAACAUGCCAUAAAUAGACUGAGUACCUAACAUCUGGAGCUAUAACAUGCUCGACUGUGGUGGAUACUAAAGAGGCAAGUUGUCCAACAAAUACAUCAUGUGUAGGGUGAUCACUAGCUGCACCGAAACCUCUUGGAAACACCACAUUCUUAAGUCGUGGCAAUGUCCUGGAACUGACAGUUCCCUCUUCAGUUUCAAUCUUUCCAUAUGUGCAUGGGCCCGCUGAGAGAUCAAUCACAACAAAUCUGAACAGCAUAGGCAGGAAAUUAGAUUUUUAAUUUCAUUUUAAAAAGAAAAAAAUGCAGAGACAGAUGGUUAGAGAGAGUAACAUAACAUAGUCCUAAAACACAGCAUAUAAUCUAUCAACCCCUUCAAUGUGAUACGGAACAAAUGAAUGUUUCACCAUUGUAAACUGCAAAGUAUAAUGCUAUCUUUUAUUCACGUGAUAUCCCCAAUGUAAAAAUUUUAUUAAAAAAAAAAACACACAAAAUAACAACUCUCCCACAAAUAACUACACCACCUAUAUAGAGACAAAAAUAACACACCAACCAUAUCUCACAACAACCUAAAAGACAUCGAGAAAAUCUUUAUAACAGACUACCCAAUACUUCACAUGUUCAAGCACAUCAUUCCACAUACUUGAAGUAUUCUUGCAACAUGUUUGCAUGUUCAUCAGUCCACAUUACUCUAUGUACUAAGCUUCCCCCACUUUCUGCUCCAACAAAGAGCACAAUGGAUAGGUGCACAACCAAAUGGAUUACUUACACCCUAAAGUAGUAUGCAACUGAUUUGGUAUACCAAAAUCAGGCUUCUUCUACAAAUAAAACUAUGUUAACUAUACCUGCCAGAGCCAAGCCAAACUUGAGAUGCACCUCCUCCAUUGUAUCGAUAGCGAUAAAUGUAGUCUCCCUCUUGUUUUUUCAUAUCUUCCUCAGUGAGCUGUGUAAGUUUACCAUACAUUAAGCUGUCAAGAUCAAUGUCCUUAUUCCUCGGAUCCAUCCUGACCUGCAAAACAAGUGAACACACAGAAAUAAUAAGUACAGUUGAGUGAGACUAUUAACGAAUGGUUUGAGAAAUACUUCCAAAGCACAUUCCCCUCUUUCUUCUUUUGCGGUAACAAUACGCACUUCACAUGUGCAAAAUCAUAUGGUAAAGUAACACAUAAAUUGAAGGAUUAAUGUGGUAGACAAAGCGAGACCAUUAACUAUGAUGAUUGCAGACCAUACCUUAUCAAAAUUGACUAUAAAUAUUGCACUUGGAACUUGCCGAUCCAUAUCAUCAGCAGCGGAAUAAGCAGCACUCUCUGUGUCAAAUAUGUAGGAAUAUAACCUCUGAAAUACAGGCUCCACUAUAGUUGCAUCCACUUCAAACAGAGGUACUUCCCUUCCAAAAUCAGCCUAAAUAUUGAACAACAAUUUAAAACUUCAUUCUCCAAAAGACAAAGUAAUACUCAUAACUUUCUCCAGAAGACAAGGUACAGCAGGCAAACAAUGGGAGUCACCUCUCUUGCAUUUCCUGCAGGAACCAUAACCUCUUUCAGUGCCUUCUCAAGAGCUAACAGUUCUGGCUGCCCGGCCUGUAAUUAGAACAAAUACAAGAUCCAAACAUUGGAUGAAAUAUAUAGUUAAUGUACAUAUCAUAUCAUAUGCAUCCAUAUAUCGAAAAUUAUGUGAAUAAUAUCUAAACGAGAAUGCUACAGUCGGAUAUGAAGCUUACGGGAAAGGCAUUAUAGACAAUUUGAUGCUCGAUAUCGAGAGGCUGUCCUGUCUCCAGGCAGGAAGGCCUAUGCAAUGGGAAGCUGAUUUUCAGAAACUCUUCCAAUUUGUGCGCAUCGACCGAGUACCUAUAGCCUCCAUCAGCAUUGAAACCAAUAAGCACCACAUUCACUUCGAGCGGAACCUGGAACGGAACCUACAUACACACAUAGGAGAAUCACUCACAGUCAGAGUCAUGACGAAACUAAACUAACAUGCAAACAUGUUGAAUUUCUCAAAAAUUAAAACCUAAUUUCAAAAUUGUGUGAUUUUCCUAUUUGUUUUCCAAUUGCUGUUGAGAAAGAAAUAGCGGAUGAUAAAAUCACCUCAGCGCGAGAAUGGAGCAUGCGGCGAACAUCGGAUCGAACGCCAUCUCGGACGUCGUGGAAGGCGCUGUGGUGCCACUGAGGGUGACCUGGAUCUCUCCGGAAAGCCUGAGGCGCCGACUCGGAUUGAAACACAAACAGGCUCAGUGCGAAAACGAAGGCAUGUAUCAUUGGCGUUGAUAUUGGAUUUGAUUUGGCAGCCAUAGCUGCGGUAGCUCAGUCGAAGAAUUAGCUAAACCAGAAGGGCAAUUGAAAUGCAGGCGAAGAGUAUGAGAAAUUACAGAUACUAACGGUUGAAGUUGGACUUUGUCAUGGCUGGGUCAGCUAGGCGAGACUCAGAACGAGACUCAGACUGAGCAGAUGAGCAAGAGAAGAAAUGCUAAAUUGUUAUUCUCAAAUUUGCCCCUACAUUUGCGCUUUAAUACAAUAAUGGACUCGCGAAUUGUGCGGGGUUUUAAUGAGUUUUUUUUGGAGCAACCCGUGCCUGCAACAAUGCAAUACGCCCAAAUGUAACGAGGGCUUGUUUGUUAUACAGGAUUGUCUUGAUAUAGACUAUAUUUAGGGAAUGUUUUGAUUUGGUUUAGUUUGGUCUAAGUUGGAUAACACUUAUUCUGCGUUUGGUGUAUGCUUGAAUUAGGGCAACAGGUCUCCCGAGAGCCCAAAUCCCCCUCCAGCGCUACCAAUCCAACCUGGGCAAGCCCAAGAGCAGAUCCUGCCUAGGCUCAAGCCCGAAGGAGCUGAUGAUAGCGAGCGCAUUUCAAAUUUUUUUUUACUGUUGGAGUGUGAGUUUCAAGCGCCAACGGUAAAAAAAUUUGACUUCCACUUGCUGACGUCAGCGCUGACAGAACCCAAUGGGAAAAAGCUACGUGGUGCUUCCCGCGCUGCGAUGGUUUUUUUUUCCAGAAAUCCGACGGUUGCAAAAAAAUUAUGAAUAUAUUUUUAAAAAAUACCAAAAAAUUCUGGAUUUUUUUCCUACAAAUACCUAAUAAUUUUAUUCACUUUCCACACCAAAUCUUCAUACAAACUCUUCUCCUUCCAAUAUUUUUUACUUUUCACUCACAUUAUUCACUUUUCACACCAAAUCUUCAUACAAACUCUUCUCAUUCCAAUAUUUUUUACUUUCCACUCACAUUUUUCUACUAUUUUCCAUUUGUAUCAAAAAACAAAUGGUCUCUUCUGUCGAAGCCGGAGGCGCGUGGACAACUCAGGAAGAUAUUGUGUUGUGUCAGUGUUGGGUGAAAGUUAGUCAUUGCCUUGUCAAGGGCAAUGAGAUGAAGUUCGCUCAUUCGGACUGAAAUGGCCUUGUCUAGUAGAUGGAAAAUUUUGAAUAGAGAGUUAGGGAAAUGGAGAAAUGUCUUGACAAAAGAAAGGGAGAACAUUCGAAGUGGUCAAAAUCUUUUCGAUGAAGUAAAAUAUUUAUAAUUGCCAUUUAAAUCAAUUUAAUGUAACUAUCUUUUUUUUAUUGCAUAUUCAAUUUCUUUUUCUUGCAUAAUCUUGAUUUUUUUUUUUUUGCAUUUCCAAUUUGUCUAUAUUUUCUUGCAUUUUCAAUUAUUUAUUUAUAAUAGAUCAUACAAGCACAAAUGUGGUUCGGUGUCAUGGGGCAAGGCAAAAAAAGUUUCUUAAAUCACGAAUGUUGGGAAGUUGUGAAGGAUUGUUCGAGAUUCAAAAUUAUUUCCACAGGUCCGCCGGUUGUGUUGAAUGAGACGCCGCUCCACGAUUCGCCAGCAACUGAUUCGCCAUUGGACUCUCCAAUGGAAAUGGACUCACCACUCCCACGUGCGUCGAGACCUAUUAGGAGAAAGGCGGCAAAGGCCAAGAGAGGGAGCACUUCGAACAAUGAAUGUGCACAAUUUUUAGAGCAAAUAACUAAGAACACCGCACUAAGAAUUGAGAGAGACUUGAAAAGAGAAGAAGCGGACAUGGCACAACAUGAAGCAUUUGCAAUUCAAAGGCAACAGGCACAAGAAAAAGACAUGGAGGACAGAGAGAUGAAAUUCAUGGCCAUGGAUACGAGCCAUAUAUCUCCUGAAACAAAGUCCUAUUGGAAGCUAAAACGAAGGGAUGUGAUGAGAAGAAAACUUUUCCAAGACGACGGACCUAGCAAUACGGAUUGGUUAAAUGAUCAAAACCAUUAGGUUGUAUUGAAAGAUUUGCCAUAUGUAUUAAUUUGUUGUAUUGUUUUCUUUUUAUUCAAUAAAGAAAGCAUUAAAUAAUAUGACUAUUUAUUAAAAACAUUUGCGUAUCAAAACAAAGAUUAAUUAAAAACAAACCUUAAUUUAUUGCAAACAACACACAAAACAAACCAUACUUAAAAGCAUAAUCAAAACAAGGCAUAAUUCCAAAAAACACCACACACAAAAUAAAGCAUAAUUAAAAACAAAGCAUAAUUCCAAACAAAGCACUAAUCUUGACUUCAUCCACUGUGAUUGCCUUUCAUCUCCCACAAGUGUUCGAUUAAGUCAACUUGACGUCUUUUGUGAACAUAUGAAGAUUGCAUUUGUUGAUAACGAUCAAUCAUGGGGUUGUUGUAUCGACCAUCCCGAAUUAACUGUUCGUGCUCCAUUGUUUGUCCAUUUGGUCCCAUCGGCCUUUCAUAUAUUCUUGUCAACCCCGAGUUCAUGGGAUCGGGUUCAAACAUCUCUGGAGCAUCAUAAUCAUACUCAUCCUCUACAAUCAUGUUGUGGAGGAUGAUGCAAGUCAUCAUAAUGCUCCGUAGCACCUCCUCAUCAAGCAUUCGAGCAACACUUUUAAUAAUUGCCCAACGAGCUUGCAAGAUACCGAAACACAUUUCCACGUCUUUCCUAUAACCUUCUUGAAAGGCAGCAAAGCUUUUUUCCUUCACCUAGGAUAAAUUUUGUCAGCGAGGUAGUACGCACCCGAAUAUAUAGUAUUGUUGAUUCGGUACGUGAUCUGUAGGGAAUGACCUCUUAAUACAUCGUUGAACACCGGAGAUUGACCAAGCACAUUGAGGUCAUGCUGAGAUCCGGCAACUCCAAAGAAGACAUGCCAAACCCAAGUGUCGAAUGAAGCUACGACCUCUAGAAUUAUACUUUGUUGGCCCUUUCGAUUCCCAUAAUCUCCUUACCAAGCAGUUGGGCAAUUCUUCCAUUGUCAGUGUAUGCAAUCGAUGCUUCCAAUCAUUCCUAGGAAACCUCGAGCCUCAGCUUUUUGUAAAAGCCUUUGGAGGUCCCUAGGAGUAGGUUUGCGAAGGUACUCUCUCGUGUAGAGAUUUUCUACUACAUCACAGAAUCUCACCAAGCACUCUAGGAUAAUUGAUUUUCCCAUCCUUGCAAUCUCACCUACCUGCUCUGCAGAUGCCUCAUAAGCAAGCAUCCGCAAAGCAGUUGUAAGUUUUUGCUCUGGGAGAAGACCCAAAAUUCCAACAGCAUCAUACUUCUGAACGAAGUAUGCGUCGUAAUUACAAAUAUCAUGCAUGAUUUUUUUGGAACAAAUGUGGCUGCAUUCUAUAUCUCUCUAGAAACUUAGAAACAUGAUAUAACGAAUUUGGGAUAAAGUAAUCUUCCAAAAGAUUCUUACCUCGAGACUCCCUACGUCUGUCCACAUUCGGGGCACGACGACGAUGGUGUUGCCUUGAUUCAUUAAGCAUACACACCGCUGCUACAAGCAUUUCUUCCUCUUCUUCAUCGGCCUCCUGAUCUUCCUCAGCACAUCUGAGCCGAAUUUCUUCAUCUUCUCGCUCUUGCCUCUCUAACACCCUCCUCAAGUUUGACAUUGAGAGUAGAAUGUGUUUUGUAAAAUCUGAGAAAUGAAGGAAUAGAUAAGAUAUGGUGUGAGAGGUAUGAGUUGAUGGUGUAGUUUUAUAGAGGGAUUCAGAAGAUAGAGAUGACACAUGGCGCAAUUUUAGAGAGUGAAAAUCUUAUCUGAAAUAUGAGAUUAUAAUUUUUUUUUAAAUAUCUGAAAAUCUUAUCUGACAUGGGACACGUGGUGCAAUUUUAGAGGGUGAAAAUUUUAUCUGAAAUAUGAGAUUAUAAUUUUUUAAAAUAUAUAUCCGAAAAUUUUAUCUAAAACAAGACACGUGGCAACCGAGAAUCUCAUCCGAAAAUCUUUUCUGAAAAAUGAUGGACACGUGGCAACCAAAAAUCUUAUCAAAAAAUUUAAUUCCAAAAUUUUAUCUGAAAUUUUGGGUGAUAAUUUUAUAAUAAAUAGUGACACGUGGCAACCGAAAAUAUUAUCUGAAAAGCUUAUCAAAAUUAAUGGUUUAAAGUAUAAAAAAAUAAGAAACAAAGUACAAUGAAUAGUAUUUGCCCUUGCCCUAGCCUUUUGGGGUGGAACCAAAAAAGGUAAGGCUGCCACUAUUCACAUGAAUAGUAACAUCCCUUGUCUUGCCCUUACCCUUACCUCAGCGUUUUGGGGUGAACAUGCUCUAAGCCCACUAAUUUGAAGGACCAAAUAAUACGGUUCUUUUGUGAGACGGUCGUAAAUGGGAGGAGAGAUGUGCAAUGUGCAUUUUGAAAUUUCAAUCAUGAACAAAUGCUUUCAAGCUAGGCCUUAAAUUUGGGUCAGAGAGAAGGAAGGCAUCUAUGUGCUAUAUUGGUAGAAGGUAGAAUCAAACACACGACCUCAGGUGCCCGGCUGUUACACGGUCUUGAACUGAAGCAAAGAUUGAAAAUUAUAUGAAACAGUUUUGUGUGCUUAUAAAUUACUCAUUCUUGCAAAAAUCUAGUUAAAGAUUAUGUUUUUUUUUUGGGAUCUAUGAUUUUGAAUCUCCCAGAUACAAAUUUCCAGGGAAGCUAGUUGGAUAAAUUAAACAAGGGGCAUCUGCACUUGGUGGCUUUAAAAAUGAUAAAAAUAAAUAGAACAUUGCGGCUCUCACAUUCUGUAUUUGGGAGGCAACCAACUACAACAGGCAUUAUUAAAGUAAUCUUCUAACAUUUAAAACUUUCAAGCCUCUUCACUCGAGCAUGAUCGCAGGAUCCGGGUGGUUUGUCAGUGCUCCUCUCUUAGCCAUGCAUAAUAAAAAUUAUUUCCGAGUGCGGUACGAUCUUUGAAGCAUGGACCAAAAUCGGGGGUGGUGGAGACACGUUUGGUUCCAGAAAAGUAUCAGUGGUCAACAGCACUUCUUAUUGAGACUGGAGGUUCUUCCACUGUGCCUCUGGAUAUUAAGUCAUGGUUUAAGAAUAAAACAAUGACAGUUAUAUCAUCAUGAAAAUGGCGUCGGACUUUCUUGUCAAUUUUCCGAAGAUCUGAAUAUCUCAUUUCUCUUUUUCUUGCAGCUUCUUGGAGAGCAGUCUUUACAAGCCUUUUGGCACUUCCCUAUAUUAAGAGAAAUAGUCAGAACCAGAGAUCAAGAAUGGAAUAAUAAUCACGUUAAAACACAAAUAUGAAUAAAGCAUUAUAUACCAGCAAAUGUUUGAAACUUUAUGUCCAUGUCAUUGCAUUGAUUGUGGCUCAAAACAACUAUUCUUAUUUUUCCAUUUUCUUUUUUCCCUUAGUUGCAAAUUAAAAAGACAAGUGUUUAUCCUUAAGUUCAUAUUUCCUUGGAUGGGUGGUCUUCAGAAAGAGUUGUUCAAAAGAUUCUAUUAACUCAUUCUAGAUCCUAUAAACUCAAGAAGCACAAUCAUCAUCAACCUCUUGCCAUCAGAUAAAUUAUGGCAGCAAGGAAUAAAGAAUAACAAUUUCAAGAAUAUUGAAAUGUUUAGGUUUUCGUCCGAGUAUCCAGUAAAAAAUUCAAAUACUUCAUAUAUUGUACUAAUAGUUUAAGUUCAUUUGAUGUCUACAUCAAGGCAUCAAGGUAGGAAUGAAAUCAUGAAACAAAUGUGCACGCAAAUGCGAGUUACUAAACACGAAUAAAAUGAAAGGCCAGAAUCCUACCGCAUGUGGAUGCUUGUGGACAAUCUCAACAGCUUUUUCAUUACUCAAGUGUUCCCAUAGACCAUCAGAUGCAAAUAUAAGGAAAGAAUCAUUUGGAUGGAGAGGAUGAGAAAGAAUAGUCGGAUUGGCAGACAAGAUAGGCAUGUGCAUUGGUUCAGGAAGUCUGAAUUUUGCAUUAAUUGGCUCCCUGUUAAACUGUGCAUGUUUCAUAUAUACGUCACCAAUAGAUUUCGAUACCUGCACUAAAUACAAUAAAGGAGUUAUUCACAAGAAAUCCCCAUUUAAGAAAAAACAAAAUUAUGAAAGUUUGCAGAGAAGCAUUUCAGAGCCCAAAAAUCCUUUCCCCCAAAAAAUAAAAUGGGGGCAUUAGUCAAGUUAACACCAAUACAGAGCUAAGCUAACAGAUAAAUCAGAAGCUGGAUCCUAUGGGCAGAGGCUAGCAAUGCUCGGACUAAACACUACUUGCUUAAAUUUUUUUUUGAGAGAAUACCCAGGAGGCUAGGACCAGUGUCCUUGCACCAUUGCCCUGCAUGUUGGCUUCAAAAUCAACAGGUACGAAAACAAAAACACCCGUGACAGAACUUUAAGCAGUUAUAAAUUAAUGCACACCUUAAUCAAUGAGCUCUUACAUGAACAAUAGCAUUUGACAAUUACCUGGAUAAUCCCUUUUACUCUCCAAACUCCAUGCUUUAAAACAACAAUUUGAGGAUCAUGUGGGUGCAAAUCUUUCAGUUCGUGCCUAACCUCCUCAAGAUUUGCAUUGUGUUCAGUGGAUAACUGAAUCGCAGCAACUUCCCCAGUGUUUCCCACUCUCUUCCCCAACACAACACGGGAAUCUCCAAGGUUUGCCACAAAUAAGGUCCGCUGACAUAUCACUCCAACCAGACAACAUGACCCAACAGUUGCUACAUUGGGUCUAGUACUCCACAACUCUGAAACAAGAGCAGUAAACCCUUCCUCUGUUCGGAGAAAAGCAUUUCUAAUGGUCUCUGCUGUCACAACCCCAUCUGACUCUGCUGAUAUUGCUGCAUAAACACAAUGCCUAAGAUAGCCAACAUAAGAGCGGCUCAUUCUUCAAUAGUCAAACAAGAAACCCAACCCCAAAAUCACCCACAAAGAAAUAAAAAGAGGAAAUGAAAACACUGCAUUACAAUGAGUGUCCCCCAAAAAAAAAACAAAAAAAAAUAAAAAUCUAAAGGGCUCAAAGUCUAUUAAGCAAAUUGUUGGUGUUAGUAUAAAUUCACUUCCCAUAGGCAUUGUAUGCAAAGAUACUACGUGAUCCAAACUCAAUGACCAAUCAAAAUCACAACUUUAACAAAAAGUACACGAAAAAGUGAAAGAAGAAAAAAGCACGAAAAAUGAACCAGAAAACAUCACGGUUGACAAUUCAAAUCCACAAAUUAACAAUCACAUAUUAUCCACGAAACGUGGCAAAUUCAAAACCACGCCAAUCAAACCCAAAAAAAAAAAAGCAUACAUAUUUAAGAAAAAUGUGAGAGCUUUCGCUACAGAUUGGGAGGGUCGGGGAUCACGAACCUUGGAAAUGUCUGAAUAAAUUGUCGCAAACGUAUCGAGCAGCCUCGGGGCCACCAUGGCCAUCAUAAACGCCGACGAAGGUCCCAAAGGGUCCAGACUCGAUCUGACUCUGGUCCUCGAGCACCUGGUUGGCUUGAACCACGGCCAUGGAGAAAUCGCCCCACGCGUACUUUCCGAAAUCUCGGAACCAAAGCAAGCUAUCUUUGCCAUCUCGUCCACCGCCUCGGAAAUUUGCACCGACAAUUCCGACAGAGUUGAGUCCCUCACCGUUGCCUCGCCCAAACGGCCUCCAGCACAGAGAGAGCAGAUUCAUCAAUGCCUGAAGCAUCCCACAUCUCUCAAAAACCCUAACCCUAAACCCAAAGACCCUGGAGGACUCCGAAUUUGGGGGAAGAGGCUGGGAGGGGAACCCUAGGUCUUAAUGGAAUUGGGGUCGGGGAAGGUAUAGAUAGAUAGGGGAAAGGCGGUGCGUAGGUUAGGGGAUUGGGCGUAGGUUAAGAGGGGAUGCGUAUGUUAGCGAAAAGUGAUGGGAGGGUUGUGUUCGGUGGUAGAGGAACAGGGAAGGCCUCGUUCUCGGCUGUCUUGUGGGCAGAAGAUGGUGUGGGGAAGCAUUUUGUUGGGUGUCACCAUUCAAUGUCUUUUUCAUUUUUUAUUAAUUUUUUUUUUAAAAAAAAUACGCUAAGUAUAUGUCCCUCUUCUUCGUUUUUUUUUUUUUAAUUCUCAAUUUUGGUUAUAAAGGUGUUAAGGCUUGGGAAGAGGAUGAUAAAAUCAAACUCAUAUUGGAUAAGUGGUAAUCUAAUUUUUAUAGUAUGAUUGUGAAUAUGAAUCAAAAUGUCUACAACUAAUAAUGUGUCCCUCAAAACAUUAAACGAACAAAAUUGCAUUAAGAAACUAUUUAAAUGAUUAAAAAAUAUUUUUAAAACUUCGUCACAUUCAUAUUCCUACUCUAAAAGUUGUAUAUAGUUUUUAGGAAGAUACGGAUGAAGUAUCUUCGGUUAACUUUUAUAUAUAUCUUCUCUUUCAAAAGAGGAUUUUUUUUUUUUUUUUUGGUUUGUUUUUUCCCUCAAUUGUUUAUGCGAUCUCUUUUUUUUUAUUUUUUUUUAUUUUUUCUUGUGAAUUGUUUUUGUGAUCAGUUGCAGGGACCGUAUAGUACAAAUUCAGCCCAACAGAUUGGAUUUCGGCCCAUCAUUAAUUACAAUUGUACAACUAUGAACGUGAAGCAUGGCUUACUGCGCAGGGCACUCAAAAUUUCAGCUUCAACUUAUCAGAGAAGAAAGAAACAAGACAUCUUGUUGCUGUGGAUUUUCAAGUGGGGUCGGGUGAUUUAACCCAGAAAAUCAUCAUCGGCUUUCCCUCUCUAUUGGUCUAACUGUGGCAGAAUAGGGAACAUGAUAACCAAUUUUAAGCUCCACCAUUUAUAAUGUUCCAAAAAAACUAGCGUGCUUUGGUUAUUCUAAAUUUCUAGAUAGGAAUUUAGCAAGUUGCAAGUAGCAACAAACGCACAACAUAGCCAUGAGGAAAAUGGGUCCGAUUGGAUGACAUUUACGGUAGCAAAGUGUCAAUCAGAAACAAAAUCUGCCGGAUCAUCAGUUCGUUGUGGCCGGAAGGAUAUACAUUUCUAAUGUGGCUUGCUUGUUUGGUCUGGUAUCCAUGGGAGCCCCUAUCUUCUAGCAUGUUAGAUUUUUACCAAAAUAUGAGACACUACUAGGCUCGCUGUCAAUUCCUGCACAAGAGACCAAGCUUUUGUACAUGUAGUGUACAUAUAUCUUGCAGACUUGCAGUCAACUUGGUCCCAAAUCUUUUCUUGCAGUACACAUCAAGGCCAAAAAACUUUCAUUCGAUCUAUAAGCUUCUACCAAUCCAAAAUUGUACAUGAGAGUUGCAGAAUCCCAUAUUGGUUUGGUUGUGUUUGGAGAAUCUCUGAUCCUGCAAUAAAAAAUCAUAGAGUAAGGCAAAAAAAAAAAAAAAAAAAAAAAAAAAACUUGAGGAGAAAACUGGAUUGAUAAUGCAUGCAGCUUGUUUCCAGGUUUGGGUUGAUGAUCUUGGUCUCUUCGGUUUCAGAUGUUAAAAACACAAAUACGUCGAUGCCGAUCAAUUAGCAAAAGAUAAAGAUUAAAAGUAGUAUAAUUUGGCAAAUGCUUGACUAAUUAUGAAAUGGCAAAAAUCUUGAAAGAGAAUAAGAUCCAUGCUAACAUUUGAAAUGAAACAUCCAUUUAUUAUUACCUUGACUAAUAUAAAUUUCUUGUUUCAUUUUGUUCAUUCAUAAGUCUAUAUGGCUCCCCUCCUCCUAACGUAAUCUCUAAGACCCUUUCUAUCGCCAAAUCUAGAUUUUCUUUGUCCCUCAAUGGUAAUCUUUCUUUGGAUGAUGAUGGCAUAACACUUCUCUCUGAUCUGAUGUCCUAAGAAUGUAACAGUGUCUGCUGGCUCUUCAAUUCUUCAUAACACUGACAUACACGUCGAAAUUCGUCAAUGCAAACUCAGAGACGGCUCCUUUCUUGGUUUGCAAGUAAUAGGAUUCUGAACUCAAUUGGGAAGCUAGCAUAUCGUAAAUUCUGGUGCAUUUCCGGUGCAAGACGUGGUGGUCAACAAUGUGGGUUGGUUCAAAUGGUUAUGAUAUACAAAGCAGAUACCAAAUUGAUCCUUCUACAAGUCCCUGAGUUAAACUCUUAUGCUCUCAUCCUUGCAGUAAUAGAAGGCAGCUUUCGGCCGGCGAUUCAUCCAGGGGAGAACAAAUACGUCAUUCCAUGCGUUGAGAGUAGCUCCACAGAAGUAAAAAGGCCUUCUGUUAAGACCUUUGCUGAAAAUGCACACCCUCCACCUAAAGAUUUUUUUAUCAUAGAUGAUAUGGAUGGCAAAGCAUAAACAUGGAACAUGAAAACCCAACUGAGGAUUCUAAGGAUCUCACUGGUCUUGGGUCACAACAAGUGCUUUGCAGAGGCUCUACCAGUUGAAAGAAAAUCAGAAGUUUUUGGAGUAACAAGCAGGCACCAUGCUGAGACCAGAUGCACCCAAAUUUGAUCCACAAAAGCAUGACAAAAUGUUUCAAGAAAUCGUAGAGUUGGCAAAGCAAAAGAAAAAACUCAAGGAGGAGACUGGGGAUUGCUCCAAAUUACCAGAGAGAUCAACUGCAGAGUAUCUAAGAGAAGAGGAUGGGCAGUGAUUGGAUGUCAUGUUAUAAUCAAAACUUUGCUCAAUCGGUAAGCCGGUGAUGAGAGUAACCAAUCUCCUCCUAAACUUUUUCUCAUUAAAAAUAUGAAAAAAUUCACUAAUAAAUGUGUAUGUCUAAUCUCGUAUACUUAUCUUAGUUUUUUUGCUUUUAAUAUACUUAUGUACGUGUUAAUUACGCAUUAUAAUCAUCUCCGCAAGCAACUUGUUAAAGAUAAGUAUAUUUAAAAGCCACAAAAAAAAAGAAAAAAAAAAGACAAUAAAGUCGAGAAAAGUUCACGUUUGUUUACGUCCCAUUGCAUUCAGUAUAUGUGUGUUGUUAAACUUCAAAUUCUAACGUCCUGUACCGGCGUAACGUAACCAUCCAUCACACCAGCAAACCAAAAUUAAAGAAGCCAAUCCUAAAUCCUAAUAAUAAAUCCCCUAUUACUUUUAUUUACCCAAAAAUACCCCUGAAACCAAACCUAAAUCUCGAAUGUGUCCCUGCAUCUCCCAACCCAAUCUCAAUCAGCUGCUGCAGCAGCAUCAGCAGCCACCCCAGCAUUGCCUUUCGUGCCAUCGUCAUUCUUGUUGUUACUAUUCUCAUUCUCCUCCCCCUCCUUCGUCUUCUUCUUCGAUCCCCCCAAUCCCAAAAUUGUUUUCAAUCUGUCAAACGCCCUUUUCACAAUACACUUACCCCGCGGCUUAGCCGGCGCCGGAUAACGAGUCUCCACCUUCAGGUGCUCGAGCAAACCCUCCAAAGAGGCCCCUGUUCCUUGAAAUGCGUUGAACAGUUGCGGGUACAACUCCACCAUCGACGCCACGAAUUUCCGCUUAACCUUCGUAACCGCAACACCAGCAUCCUCAUCCUUGUAGUGUCCCACCACCACGCGCCCGUUCGCGUAGGCCCUGCACGCUCUCAGUAUCAUGCCCGCUCUCUGCCUAUAGAACGAGGCGGUGAAAGCCUUGAAAUUCAGCGGCGCCCUCGAGAGCAAAUACAGCGUCGUUUUGCAAGUCAAAACGAAGACUUUCUCGUUGUAGGCCCGAGACGCCUCGCAUCCGAACCGGUUCCCGGUUCCCGGUUCGUUGAAGUAGGGCUCCUUGUUGAGAACCAGGCCUUGGAUCGACACUAGAACCUGGAGGAUCGUCGACUGAGAUGGGUCCCACUUCUCCUUCCCCUUUCCUGGCCAGGUGUUCAGCAGGCUGAGGCAGACGUACCCGCUAGCGUAGAGGUUCGGGUUGGGCCUCAGCCCGAAGGAGCGGUAGUGGACCUCGGGCGGGUGGGUCGGGUAAUCGGAGGGGAACGCGAUGUCGAAGAAGAAAAGGGCGUCGUGGUAGGGCGUGCCGGAGGCUCCGACGACGACGGCUCUGAGCAGGUCGAUGCGGGUCUCGUAGGCGCGCACGUAGAUGGAGUCCGGGAGGUGCUUCUCCAGAAUCUUCCACUCCUGCAUGAUCUUCUUCUGAACCCGGCCGCCGCAGCCGCAGCCGUUUUUGUUGUUGACGUAGUGGUGGUCUGAGUGGUCCGAAACGACGUCGAAUCGCUUGAACACGUUGGGCUUCGACGUCGUCGUCUUUGGCGUCACAGAAGAAGAAGAAGAGGGGGCCAUUAUCGUUCCGUUCUCUUUCAAGACUCUUUGGUGAUUGGACGGAUUCUGGACUGUUGUGACUGUGCUUUCAAAUAUUUUUUUUGAUGCGACUGUGCUUUCAUUCAUACCAAAAACAAAAUAAAUAUAAAUAGUCAAGGCUGCGGGGCCCACUCGGAUUAUGGCGUAAUAGGCGGUGAUUAGAGCUUUUCGUCUGAUUUAGGGUAAACAAGUAAUGAGUUAUUGGUGUGGGAGUAGGACUUGAUAAUGGAUUAGGUUGGGCUGGCCUAGUGCCGAGUGACUUGUGGUGAGUGGCUUUGGCUUAUACUUUUGUGCGUGUUUUUGACGUGGGGAAGAAUUUAAGCAAAUUCCUUACAAGUAUUGCUUAUGUUGUACAUUAAUUACUACUCCUUAGAUACUGAUUUUGAUCAGGAGAUCCUUUACUUCAACAUGUAACAAAGUGAGAAACAGUGAAGAAACAAAUUUAGAGUUUUAAUCAAUGACUUGCAAUUUGACAAGUUCUUGAAAUAUGCAAAAUCUUUGGAUGAAUCUUCAAUCCAAAAGAAAAAGGGGGAAUAGGGAAAGUAGAAGCAGCCAACUUGGCAAAGAAGAGCGACAUCAAACAAAGAUUAACGCAAUUUUAACAAACUUUUAUUCUAUCAUAUAACGAGAAAUUCUUCAGUGUGACCGUCACACUGCCGCAUAAUAUUACAAUUCAUUCAUAUUAUAAAACGUGUAUUUAUUUAUUAAUAUUAUAUCAUAGGGCCCUAAAGCAUAAGCUGUGACUUUAACCAAAUAUUAUAAUGAGUUUUCUAUUGAUUGAUAAGGGAUAAAACAUUUACUUUUGGGUUUGGUAAUUUGAUUUUCUAUUGAUAAGAGCCUAAAACCCCAUAGUUUCUUUAGACACAAGUACAUGAUAAACACCAAAAAGAUACCAGCAUUCCUCAAAGUCAAAAUGGUGGAUUGUUUUGUUGGUAAAAGGGAGAAAAAACCAUUACUCACAACACACUAAAAUUAAACAAUGCCUUCAUAUCUUAUUAAUUAUUUUUCACCAGUGAGCCUCUUUAGCAUGUUCGUAUACUCUCUCUUGUUCCUUAACACGUUGUCAUCAUGUGCGUUUUUGACCACCAGAGGCUUAUUUGGUUGAGUAACCCUGCGGCCAUUUUGACCUAUUAAUAGGAACCAGUAAAUAGAGUCAUCACCAGCAUUGAUUUUUCAUCAGUGACACUGUAAAGCAAAGGCAAAUCUCUAGUGUUAUAGUAAAUUAUGUUUGCAGACGCAAAUCACUAUUAAGAUCAUAUCGCUCUUUAUUACAAUAAAAACAAAUCCAUCAAGUAGAGGUAGGUUUGUCAAAUUAUUUGGGCAGUGAGCCCGCUCCUUUGCACUCUAGUUCGAAUUCUCCACGCCAUAAAAAACCCAUCAUAACUGGUACCAUUCCUUCAUUUCAUAUCUUGUUCUUGUUUUUCACAUCUGAAUUCUAAUUUGUAUACAGCUCAAAGUAGCAACUACUAAAUUAUUAAGGGUGAGCAAGAGCCAAGAAGACUUCCAUUACCAUUAACAGACAGACUUCACAGAACAACAGAACGUCCUAAUUUGGACACUGACGACAUAACAAAGUGACAGGAAAUGGAACUCAUUACUUCUGGACUUCAAUAGAGCUGAUAAAACUCAAACAAAAUUUAUAAUUGUAAUUUGAACGACGGAAAAUGUGUUAUUAACCAGAGUUACAUGUAUGCCCAAUAACUUAAACAGCUCAACAUGUCGAUUGCUGGCCACCUGAGGGCAAAUUAAGCUCAUUCCUACCUUUGCGAUUUCGAGAGCUUAACAUAACAUUCUUGUGCUUACAGCAGUAAAUUCUACAACUUGGAAGAAGGCUUUUUUGAACCCCGACCUGUUAUGAACUCUUGCAUCUUCUUAAACUGCUCUUUGGUCAUUCCACUGUAAUAGUCAUGACCCCUCUCCUGAAAAUAACAAUCAAAUAUAUACUCUGUCAUAAAGAAGAAGAAGAUCAGCCACUGCAGAAACCCUUAUAUGAAACGGGAAAGUGCAGCACUUACAGCCAGUGCUAUCCCAGUUUCAUACAAGUUUUUAUGCUAAACAACAUGAUCAAUAGCUGGGUCAAAUGGUCAAAAUGUCAAAAUCAUCUGAGCAUAUGCUCUGUAGAAAUUUAAACCCAACACUUCCAAUAAAAAGUCAAUCAAUAGCCGGGUGGGCCAAAUGGUCAAAAUCAUCUGAGAUUUUGAAUUGGAAUUUAUGGCUACCUUUUCUAGUGCAAGAGCAUGGCCUAGGUCCAGUUUAAGCCCGUCAUUAAUAACAGCCUUGUACCUCAACACCAGGUCCUGGUUAUUUUUCGCAAUGGCCUCAGCUAUUUCACGAGCUUUCUUCAGCAACUCACCCUCUUCAACAACAUGGUUCACGAACCCCAACCUUUCACCCAGCUCCGCCGUCAAAGGCGUCGCUGUCAGCGACACUUCCCGAGCUUUGUUAGCCCCUAUAAUCCUCGAAAGCUUCUGAGACAAACCCCAUGACGGAAAUAUCCCAAACCUGUUAAAAAACAGUUAAAAGAUUUCGGAUCGGAUCGGGUCGUACCAAUUCUGAUGGGUCUGGAUCCAAAAUCAAAAAUGAAAUCCGACAAAAUUACAGACCUGGCAUGAGUGUCCACGAAUUUAGCUCCUUUUGCGGCGACGAUUAUAUCACAAGCGAGCGCGAUUUCGAACCCGGCAGUGACCGCGAACCCAUUAAUGGCUCCGAUGAUGGGCUUUCGGCACCGCUCCAUUUGCGCCACCGUGUCGGUCUCCACGUCCUUCACGUCCCCUUUGAAAACGUCCUCCGCGGCCGUGAGAUCGACUCCGGAGCAAAAGGCGCGACCCGACCCGGAUAGAAUGAUGACCCGGACCGACUCGUCUUGACUGAGGGCCUUGAAGGCUUUGGCGAGGUCUAUAAUCAUGGGCCGGGUCAGCGAAUUAAGCGACUUGGGACGGUUGAUCGUCACGAAUGCGAUUCCGUUGGGUUCGCGGUUUACGAGUAUGAGAUUUUCCGGCAAGGAUUGGUGGCUGGCCAUCUUGGAAGCCAAGACGUCGACGUUUUAGCAGAAAAUGAUCAACUUCGAUUUGGGAUUGGAUUGGAGGGGACCAGAUGAGAACGGAUAUUUGAAUGCGUCGUUUCUGCGUUGGAAUGCGUGGAUGGCGUUAUCGGUGACGUUCAGGUGCCACUUGCCGCCAGGAUAAAACUGACUGUUGCAUGUGGGGUUGGGGUACGGUGGUCCCACCACAUAAUGGAGCAUGGUCUUCACAGGUAUGAAAAUAAAAUCACAGGCUUCAUAGGCCUGAAUAUUGCAUUAAAGGCCCAUCCCAACUGUGCUUUUAUGAUCACGUGGCGCAUUUUCAGGGCGUCUAACUUAGUGAAGAAUCAUUUUGACUAUUGGUUUUAGGUUCCAACCUUUAUAAUACUUUGUUAGUGUACAAGAGCAUUAUCUUAGCUAAAAUUUAGCUAAAAAUAUAAAAAAGUUAUUUUAGGAGUUCUCUAAAAAAUUUCAACUUCAACCAUACUCCUUAAUUUGGAGAGUCAUAAAUGAUAUAACUCUUUUUUGAUUUGUCCAUCUCUAUUAAAAAAUAAAAUAAAAAAUAGUUAGCAUUAAAUAAAUAUUUGAAAUAUUCAUUAAAUAAAGCAGCAUUAAAUUAUAAGAAGCCACUAGGAGUCUUUUCUCUCUUCUCAGAUUUAGGAGCUCCUAGAGGACUCCUUAUUUUAAGAAGUGGAUAGGGAGUAUGGUUGGAAUUGCAUUUUUUCAAUUCUUUCCUAAAAUUUUUCUAAGGAGGUGGUUUAGAGAGCCCAUUGUGGAUGCUCUAAGAAACUCUCUUCUCCCUUAUAGUUUAGACUAUCAUUUGUGUUAAAAAAAUAAUAAUUCAAACUAAUAGUGGACGUGAUUGAUAUGCCACAGAUUUUAAAGGUUACAAGAAAAGAGGAAAUUUGAACUCGUGAUCUUUUUUAACAUUGAGAAGAGAAGUAAUACUAGACUUAUAGCUAGUUGAGGACUCAACACCUUGUUUAUUUGUUCAAGUUACUAAAUGAAAAAGGGCUGUAAUGAAAUUCCAAAGCCUUGAAUGGUUUUUGGUUAAAUAAAGGCAUAAUGAAAGCUUAUUACACUACCACUAAUCAAUCAUUAGCAGGCUCUUCUGGGCAUGCCUUACAAGGUUAAGAUUGAUUAAGUUGCACAACAUUCAUUGGUGAAAUAUCAUUAGUGUCACCAUACAAGAGACGCCUUGCUAUGAUCGCAUUAGCAGCAUCGGAUGGAUGGUAGGGGUCCCAGAAUAUAUACUUGGAUCUGUCCCUACAAACUUUGGAUGGAGGACCGCAUGGAAUCAGACCCCCAAACCGCCCAGCAACAUAGCAGCAUGCAGAAUUUGCAUUUUCAAAACCUGCAGUUAACAAAACAUAAUCACUCUCAUUUUAAUUACAAUUCUAAGAUCAACCCAUAUAGCUAGAAGAAUUAAAUUUAAAUCUCACCAUAUGAUAUGUGGUUCUGGAUAAUGUCAUCUACGAUACGAUAAACAUCUGCAUAAACAAAUUUGGACCCCUCAAGAUUGGUGCUAAGCUCCUUCACAAGGCUCUUCAACUGGAUGUUGAACAAUCGUGCUAACCGAUUCGGUUUUUCGACGCAGAAAUCUCCUGCAGCUAGAGUUGUCUCCCUCUCGAAAGGUAUGCACCCAGUAGGUCCUACAUUUGUCACAAUAAUUUUCCUCGCACCCAAAUUGUACAGCCUCUGCAAGCAUCAUGGAUUUGUUCAUAAGAACAAUCACAACGUAUAAAGAAGAAAAAAUAGAGAGAGAAAAAAAAGAACAUUAACUGUAAGUUGCAGCCUGUAUCUUGAAAUCAAAAUGGCCACAAACACUUCUGGAGAUAUCAACUUCUGCUCAGGAAUUGAGAUAACCGGCGCCAAGUAGUUGUUGAUGAAAUCGUUGGAACCCAUUGUUACAGAGAAGAGAGCCCUGCUGAAUAGCUUCAGAGCUGCAGGAAGGCCAAUCCUGGAGACAAUGUCUUGCCUGGUAUUAGCAAAGUUAUCUAUCUGUGCAUCCAAGUUUAUUCGACCCACCUAACGAUCACAUGAGAUUUUUCAUCACAUCAAGGCACACAAUAGUAUCAAUUGAUUUGAAGUAUCAAAGCUCCAUUUGUAAGCUUACAAAUAUUUUUCCUGUGUCAUUAAGAAUUCCACCUCCACCUGAAGCAUAAUUGACACCCUGCAGAAUUCGAGGUCCAGUUGUUGAGGGAGACAAGUAAGGAGGAGGAAAAACUUUAAAACCCAGCUGCUGACCUGUUGAGGCUAAAAUUAAUCAGUCAUCCUUGUUUGUUGAAUCUGUGAAAGAAGAAGAAGCAUUCAAUUGGGAAAAUGGAGAACUUGCCUAUAAUGUCAACAAUUGUUCUCCCAUUUGUGUAUCGUCCCGUUGGCUUUCCGAAAUCAAUUCCAUUGGGGACAUAGUUGGCCUUGGAGAGUGACACAAUGUGGUUGUUGUUUCCCACAUCAACCAGAGAAUCCCCAAACACAAAAUUGGCAGGAACAUCUUGUGCCAAGCAUAUUUUCCAAAGUACAAAAGAAAUUGUUGAUAUUUGGAAAACAAGGCCAAGGCUAAUGGUUGCUCUAUCUGAUAGGCCACCCAUUACAAAAAGAAUGUAAGGAAACAACGUAGAAUGUCAGAUCAAACCUUGUUAAUAUUACUUGGCCACUUUAUUUCACAGCCGUAAGGAGGCAACAACACCUAUUCAGAUAUGAAAGAAUGUGACAAAUCUUAAAUAAACAGCAGCGCCCAGCUAGAAGUGAGAUGUUUCUGAUUUAUCAAAUAAAAACUCUGAAUUUGGUGUAGGAAAGCAACAUAUAACGGUACUUUUUGCCCAUUCCUGUCUUCCAUUUAGAUAAUCAGAGUAUAAACAGCAUUAGUGAGAGGGAUUAGUUUCGGGCGCUGCUAAGUUCGAGUACUUUGAUCACCAGCUGUUUUCUUCACCAGAAAAUUACACAAGAAGAUUAACCCAGUUUUGAUAUUGUGAUCAUGAUGAUUAAGACUUUUAAGUAGGAGAAGAGUUUAGGGUAAAUAAAACAUACCCUUUUUAAGUUUUUAUGUAUGGAGCACCUUUGUUUGUAAAAUUUUCAAAGCAUGGCAUAAGGUGAAGUAUACAACAUUGAUUGCGCCUGCAAAUUCAGCAACCUCUCGUGAGGAGAAAUCUGGUUUAGAGUUUCAAGUGGCCAGAAUAAGCAGAUUCAAGUGGCUAACAGUUGCAACCCAAAUGUAGAUUCCGUGCACUGCUUGAAAAGUAAAAAGACUAGGACGUCUUUUCUUUCUUUCUUCAACUACCAACGAACCUGAAGGCCUGAGGAGGCCUGUACAAAUUUGAAACCAGUAAGUAACCUAUCGUAUGGACGAAAUUUAACGCAGCAGAGUAAACCAUUCUGCUUAUAAUUUCUAAUUCCUCAAAUAGCAACCCCAACCAAAACUUACAGCUAGAGCACUAAAUUUUUUUGUUCUUGCGUGCACGACAGGCAACAAGGAAAAACCGUUCUUCAAAACCCACUCACACAUGCAGCUUGGAUUAGGUUCCAUAUAAUUUCUCUCAUGAAAAUGGUCAAAUAUGUGGAAAAGGAUUAAAGUACUGAAGAUAUUAAUGUGUUUCUUCCCAUACAUAAAUACAUAUAUGUUUUAUGGACAAGACAUUUAUUCUUUAUUAAAAGACGAAUUAUCAAUAUAAUAUUAAUAACACUUGAAUAUUAUUAUCGAUAAUAUGUGAAUAAUAAAACAUACCUAUACAAAACUCGUCAUGUAACAAAGGAAGACGGAUGUGCUAGCUGCACAAAUAAUAUGUUUGUACUGUAGUUAAUUGAGUUUGACCUCAAGGGCUAAUUUGAGUCUUGAAAUUAAAGUCCAAAAAAGCUUCAUCUGACAUAGCCCAGGGUGAUAAUAUCGCCCUACACAUUAUAUGGUUAGAGCCAAUUACAACUGCAUAAAUUGCUUUUCUCAACAAUUUCUGAGCUGCAGGAAUGCCAAUCCUCGACAGUUGUCCCAUGAUUACUGAUUUGCGUGUCAAAAUUGAUUCGAUUAUUCACAUAAUUUUGGCUUAUAAAUGGAACUUCAUGGGAAUUUUAAAAAGGAAACAAAUAAACAAGAAACUUCAUGAGGAGAAAUCUUCCUUAGCACAAAACACUUACAAAGAUAAAGCCACUGGAAUUGAAAAUUCCAGCGGCACAGGAAGCAUAAUUAACAACCUUUUUCUUUUCUUUUCUUUUCUUUUUGGUAGGAGGGGAGUUGGGUUACUCCGCUCAUUGCCAAUUGGUUUUGAGGUGGAAUCUUAACUUCCUUCAUGGUAUAUAUUAGAACAGAUUGAAGGUAAAAAUGUCUCACAUUGGAAAGUUAAGAAACCUAACAAGGACUUAUAAGAUAUUGAAUUACUCCCUCAAUUAUCAAUUAAUUUUGGGGUGGAACCUCAACUCCUUUAGAAAGGCCAUUAAAUAUUCAUAGCAAAGUUUGAUAUAUAGGUUUAAAGACUGAGAACCAAUAAUUAUUUCGGAGGUGCUACCAAGGAGGGUGGAAGACCAACAAAACAGAGCUACAUUGGAAUUAAUCAUCCUGGGCCUAGAUGACACAGCGCAAGAAGGCUUGAGAUUCUUCAAAACCCACUCACAUGCAGCUUGGAUUCCAUAAUUUAUUUCAUCAAUGAACCAUCUUGUUUUUUUUUUGAAUUACAAACAGGGUCGUCCUAUACAUUAUAUUCAGCUCAUUUCAGGUUCAUAGAUUGCUAGCUCAAGAUUGCACAAGCUGUCUCAAAUUCAUAGGUGACAUAUAAGUUACGUAGCUAUCCAUAAUAUGCCUCGUUGCAACAACACAAGCAGCAUCCGUCAAGUGAAAUGGAUCCCAGAACACAUACUUUGAUCUGUUGGGACAAACUUUAGAUAAAGGAUUGCAGGGUACCAGUCCCCCUCGGCUCCCAGCAAACACGCAGCAUGCAGAAGUUGCAACCUCAAAUUCUAUCAAACAUAACAGAGGUUACUAAUAUUGUAGUUGUUACAUGACUAACUGCAAAUCAUAGAAUAUACAGACCAUAUGACGCAUAAUUUUGGGUGAGAUCUUGCAAUAUUUGAUAAAUAUCUGCAUAAACAAACUUUGCCCCUUGAAGCUCUUUGUUAAGCUCUGCAAGCAUGCCCUUCAACUUCUUGUUGUAUAUCUGGGCCAUCUUAUUUAGCAUACGAGCACAACUUCCCUUCUCAACUGGAUGUAUGUCUUUCUCAAAUGGGGUACACCCAACAAGUGCAACGUUGCUCACCAUAAUCUUUCUAGCAUCCAAGUUGUAGAGUGUCUGCAAAGGAAUUUUUCUUAGUGUGUGUGCUUCUAACUUUUUUAUUGCAGCCAAUAUAUGUAAGUCUUAAAGAAGGAAAUUUAAACGUAAGUGCUGAUUUGAGUCUUGAAAUCAAGAAAUCCAUACAAGCUUCUUCUGACAUAGCCAUGGGUUCAAACUCCUUGAACAUUAUGUCGUUAGAGCCAAUUACAACCACAUAAAUUGCUUUUCUCAACAAUUUCUGAGCUGCUGGAAUGCCAAUCCUUGACAUGAUAGCUUGCGCAGUUUUCCCAUGGUUACUGAUUUGCGUGUCGAAAUUGAUUCGAUCACCCUACAUAGACAUACAUAUAAAUACGUAAUUCUUCAGACUCAUGCAUGAUGCAUGCAUUGCAGAUAGAUAUAUGUCAUUAAUUAGCAUUCCAAAAAGAAAAUAGCUAACGACCGGCAAGUUUUGCAUAUGAAGUUCAUUAGAAGUUUGGAAUUAAGACUAGCUUGCUUCCCUAAAUCCAAAAACUUCUAGGAGGUUAGUUUAGCAGAAAACUUACAAAGAGAAAUCCAGUGAAAUUGGAAAUUCCAGAGCCAGAGGAAACAUAAUUGACACCUUGUAGAAGAUUGUCUCCAGCAGCAGUUGCAGCCAAGUAAGGUGGAGUAAAAUUUUUCAAACCCAUUUCCUGUUCUGUCAUAAGAAAAUAAGAAAAUAGUAAAAACUUUGCGUCCAUACUCGAAUACGUUUCUGCAAACAGUAGAUAUAUAUUAAGUUGGCAGACUUGAAUUCCCAAAGAGAAAGAGGCAGCUAUAUGUAUAUGUAUAUACGUAGUCAUGAAUGAUUGAAUAUCCAUCGAAACGUUACUUACGAAUAAUGUCAACAACUAUUCUCCCAUUGGAAAAUCGUCCUGUUGGGUUAUUCCCAAAAUCAAGUCCAUGAGGGAGAAAAUUUGCCUUAGCUACAGUUUGAAGGUUGUUGUUGUUUCCCACAUCAACCAAGGAAUCGCCAAAAGUGAAAACAGCAGGAACAUUUUUUUGGGCUGAGCAGCUAACCAACAAAAACAAGUAAACUACAAAAAUUUGGAAUAUAAUUAUCCCCAUUAAUUUUAAGAUAGAAAUAAUAGUAACCUUUCUUUCUUUUUUAUAAGGGGGUUGUUAUCCUUAUAUACAACUUUCCGUAUCUGUGGGAAACUUUGUGCCUAACUGGUCUAUGAAAUUCCCUCUUAGUAAAUAUUGGUUGAAUUUGUGCCUAACUCUCUCUAGACCGGCAGGCCACAGUUGGAUUUGUUAUGUUUGCCUCUAUUAUGAUCCACAUUGCCGGUGAUAUUGGAAUGCCAUUAUGUCUAAGCUAAGUUUCAUGGGAGCAUUUUUGCUCACCAUUUUAACUCAAGGUGUAGCCUCACCAUCCUCCUAAAAACUUGACACAUGUCUAUAAGUCUAAUUAUAGUUAACAUUUUAUUUUUUAUUUUCUUAUAACAUUAUUAUGAGAGAGAAAAACAUAACUAUGCUUUUAAUAAAAUUUAAAAUAAAACAUAAUUAUUAUAAAUAAAUAAAUAAACCCGCCACCCACCAAACCAACCUAUUCAGCCACUCCACCCACCCCCACCGGUGGCAACCCCCUUUCCUUCUUGCAGCCGAAAACCCCCUUUCCUCUCAUUGAUGUCAUAUAGGACCUCCACGACGGUCUUAGCAAAAGGUUGGUCAUUGAUGACUGCUUCUUGGGAUCUUCAAACCCUAGCAGACUCAACGAGCUUCAUGGAUUCGGUGAUUUUCUGGGUACUCUUUAUAGAAUAAAUUUGGACUCGGAGUUCACCUAGACCUGGGCAUGAGAUUUAGGGCAAAAGGGUUUUAGGAUUUUGGAGAUAGAAAAUGGAGGUUUUGCAGAGACCCACAUGAUUGUAUUGGACAAAGCCAUUGGCUUUUGUUGGGUUUUGCAGAGAUUGAGCAAAUUCAAAUCUCUAUAAAAUACCUAAUUGGUUAUUGAGCAAAUUCAAAUCUCUGCAAAAUAUCUAAUUAGUUAGGUGGCUGCGGCUGGGUUUUGUUGGGUUUUUGUUUUUGUUUUUUUAAUAAUUAGUUUUUAAUUUUUAAUUUUAUUAAAGAACUAUUAUUUUUUUUCUCUGUCAUAAUAAUGUUAUAAAAAAAUAAAAAACAAAAGGUUAACUAUAGUUAGACUUAUAGACGUGUGUCAAGUUUUUAAGAUGGUGGUGAAGCUACACUUUUGGUUAAAGUGGUGAGCAAAAAUGCUCCCAAAUUUCAUAGGUUCCAAAGAAAAGAGGGAUCAGAGAACCCAUUCAAGAGCUUAAUUCACUCCACUUUACGUGGUAUUCAGGGAGGAAUUGGAUUUCAUACCUUAAUUCAUUCCACCUCAUUAGAAUGUACAUUUAUUAACCAACCUUGCUUUGAAUUUGUAAGUCCUUAAAAGGAAAGGAUAAACAAUUUUUUAUCACAUGCUUGGUGGCAUGUUUACUUAUUAGGGAUGAGAGAAGUCAUGAAUUGAGGAACUUAGAUAAGGUAAUCAAGGUAUGGGAAUCAUAUCAACUAGUCCCCCUAGUUGAUUCCAUUCCCGAUUUUGAGGGUAUUCAAUAACGGACUUUAAUGUGGAAUAGACAUAAGUUUUUUUUCCUGAUGUGUUACUAAACGCAUGAGAAGUCAGGAAUUGGAAUCAUUCCAAUACCUAUGUGAUUGUGAUAAUAAACACGGGAAAAGUAGGAAUUGAAAUCAUUCCAAUACCCAUUCAGGAUAAGUAAACAUGGUUGGAUCAAAAGCUGAUCAUGGCAUUAGUUGAGAACUAUUUCAGUAUUUAAAAAUAUUAGUUCAUUUAUGUUAUUCAAUGUUUAUUGUCUUUGAGAUUGAGGAGCUCCUCCAACAAAUUGAAGAACGAGUGUUCUAAACCAAAUAAUUAAUGGUACUUUAUUAGUGACAAUGAAAUCUCUACUUGUUGGAGGUCCUUUUUAAUUUGGUACUAAAUACAUGAUUGGCAGUCAUUGAAUGAAACACAGUUAUUCAUAGUGGCAACGGCUAAAAUAUGAAUUUGGUUUGAAUGUAUUAUGUUAACUUUAUUCUUUUCCAUAAGGAGGUAUAUAUAAGAGUUUACAUGUGGGCUUUACAAAGAAUUAAAUAUAGUAAAGAAUUAGGAAUGUAUCUCCUAAUUGUACAAUGAUUUAUCAAUUAUAUAAAAAAUAGGAAAUAAAUCCCUUAACUAAUAAAGGAAAUACAAUGAUUUAUCAAUUAUAUAAAAAAUAGGAAAGUAAAUCCCUUAAUUAAUCAAGGAAAUAAAUCUCCUUGAUUAAUUAGGAAACUCAUGUCAACACUCCUCCUCAAGUUAGUGCAUAUAUGUCACCAAUGCCCAACUUGGUAAGUGAGUUAUGAAAUACUCUUCCACAAACAACUUUUGUUAAGAUAUCUGCCAGUUGAUCUUCUGAUUUUACGAAUGGUAGGCAGAUGAUCUUCUUCUCAAUCUUCUCUUUGAUAAAAUGUCUAUCCACUUCAACAUGUUUGGUUUAAUCAUGUUGAACUGGAUUAUGGGCAAUGUCAAUGGCUGAUUUCUUAUCACAAUGUAACUAAAUUGGCUUUCCUAGCUUGAAACCCAAUUCUGUCAAUAGUCUUCUAAUCCACAGUAGUUCACAAACUCCAUGAGCCAUUCCUCGAUACUCUGCUUCUGCACUAGACCGAGAAACCACAUUUUAUUUUUUACUCCGCCAAGUGACUAGAUUACCUCCCAUGAAGGUAAAGUAACCUGAAGUAGAGCGUCUAUCAGUAAUGGAGCCAGCCCAAUUAGCAUAUGUAUAUCCAACAACUUCGAGAUCUCUAUUUUUUGAGAACAUUAAUAUGGGACACACUGGGUGAAUGCAUAAAUUGACUAACCACACUCACAGCAUAUGCAAUAUCUGGCGUGGGCUAAAUAUAUCAACCUUCCAACAAGGUGUUGGUACUGUUCCUUAUUGGAUGGUUCUUGAUCCAUGCCUUCACAUAACUUGUGAUUCAUCUCGAUGGGUGUAUCAGCAAGUUUGCAUCCAAGCAUUCCUGUUUCAGUGAGCAGAUCUAAUACAUACUUCCUUUGAGAUAGAAAUAUACCAGUUGUAGACCUGGCUAUUUCAAUUCCUAGAAAGCACUUCAGAUCACCUAAAUCCUUCAUCUCAAAUUCCUGAGACAAAUACUUCUACUGUUUCAAUUGCUCUCCUGUGUCGUUUCCAGUUAUGACUAUGUUAUCCACAUAAACAAUCAAUGCAGUAAGUCUUCUUCCAUCAUGCUUCAAGAAUAAAGUGUGAUCUGCAUUACUCUGUAUAUAUCCAAAAGAGAAAAGAAACUAAAUACCAUGCAUCGAAUCACACUACCGAUGCUUACGGAUGACACUACCUACGGCAACUAGACUAUCGAACGUUCUCUGUGACUUACAAAUAGUCUAGUUCAUGACAAUGGAGUACAUUAGAUAGAAAAAAGAAGUAAAAAGACUGAAAUACCUUGUUAUUGCGGCGGAGGAAACUCGUCGAAAAUCGCACCGCUGUCUGAUAUAGCCGAAAAUCGCCUAGAUUGCCGAACGUACUAGCAGGAAAUCGCCUAAAUUGCCGAAUGGGAUCGCCGGAAAUCACCUUUCUCAAAGCUCUCAAAUCGCUCUCACAACGCAAGUGACCCCUCUAUCCGGAGUCACCUCUAUUUAUAGAAGAAAGAAUAGACCGGUACACCUCGAAAAACCAACUGACGCCAUUAUUACCCUGUUCUGUGUGCACGCUACUACACGUGGCACUAGCUAGGGACCGAGGCUUUCAACACGCAAGGCGCAGAAGACUAAGAGUCUGCAUGGCCAGUCAAUCCCACUUCCCAUAGAAACAAGCCGCAUAUGGGGCCCGAACGUUGACCGCACCAAAGACUGUCGUAUGGAAGGGGGACAUGUACCGAACGACGUAGCAAGAUUAGGUAACCCUUGGACUGCCUGCAUCUCACCUCAUCUGAAGGCUGUACCUCCCUAAAAGCGCACCUGGCUCCACGGCUUCAUAAAUAUACCGAACGGUGUCGUCUUGCUGACGACAAUCCACGCAUACCGAAGGACAAAGCAAGUCCUAACUGAGAAGCCCUCUUAAUUAGGGACUUGGGGGACUCUUGUUUAUACUAGAAUCGACGACCAAUAAAGACAUGACAAGUGGACAAAAUAUGGCAUCGGCAGGGUAGCCUUCGGCACCCAGAGAUGCCGAAGGCACCAUUAGGGCAAAUUCAGCCUCUGGCCACGUGGAAUGCAUACAGUGAAUGUCAAUAGUCUCACACCGAAAUUCUACACAACAUGCACACCUCCCAAGGCUUAUAAAAAGGGACACAAUUCCCAAAAUGGAGGUAACUGGAACUUUCGGCAUACUAGCCAUCACUAUGUCCAGAUGAUUUACGAAAUUCGUACUUACUUAAGCAUCGGAGAGUCUUCGGCCGAUACUACACUGGUGCCCUAGGUCUUACUGAGUGUUUCUUAUCUUACAGAUCAAACGCUCGUGCUAAGGCCCAGACAUCACUAAGUUGAGUCAAAAAGUGAAAAGUGGUCAACAAUAUAUAUAUAUAUAUACAUGUAUUAUGUACGGACAUAAUUCUUCAGACUGAUGCAUGACGCAUGCCGAUAGAUACAUGUCAUUAGAAUUCUGAAAAGAAAAUAGCUAAUAACCAGAAAUUUUUGCAUAUGAAACUAAUUUGAAGUUUGGAAUUAAAACUAGCUACUAGCUAGCUUCCCUAAAUCCAAAAUCUUCUAGGAGGUUAGUUUAGCAGAAAACUUACAAAGAGAAAUCCAGUGAAAUUGGAAAUUCCAUAGCCAGAGGAAGCAUAAUUGACACCUUGUAGAAGAUUCUCUCCAAGAGCAGUUGGAGCCAAGUAAGGUGGAGUAAAUUUUUUCAAACUCAUUUCCUGUUCUUUUUUUUGGUUUGAAAUUCAUGUUGUAUUCAAAAAACCCCAAAACAAGGAAUAGAGAUACUGUUGAAAAAAAUAAUGCUCAUUUGUGUUCUAUACAAUUCUAGAAAAGUCAAGACUUCAAAAGAUAGAGGUGGCAAUACAAGAAUAUUCUAGAACAAGCUAAAUGCUCAAGGUGGUGGAACAAAGCAAUUGAAGUUUGAAUAACAUUCUAGUACAAGACACAUGUAUGGCUAAGAAAUGAAGAAGCCCAAGUUGGUGGCUGUGCAUAUCGGCAAAGGGGCCUAUAAAUAGGCAUGCAACCACAAUGAAAUGUGGAGUCAACUAAUAGAACUCCCAAUCUAUGUGGGAGUAGAACCAAUCAACUCCCAAACUAUUAGGGAGCCCAGAGUUACCCAAAUCAAACUAUGUUGAGAGCCAAUAAGCUCACCAAUCAAAGUGUAAGGGCCAAAUAGCCCAAACUAUUCUAAACUAAGUGUGGUGGCCAAUAAGCCAAUAUGCUAAGUGUAGAAUAUCAAUUAGCCUACACCAAGUAAUGUAAUAUUCUCCUCCAAUCUAAUAAAAUCACUUUGUUUCCCCUUCAAUUCUAACAGAUACAAACAGAAGGCUAAAGCCACGAGGAGCCAACAGAACACAAGAACAAAUAACAAAAGCAGGGUCAGACAUAGCUAGAUUCCAACGGAGCCUAGAACAACAGUCCCUACCCAGCAAACUAGCUACUAAUAGGAAUUAAAACUAAACAGCAGAUGCAACAUGAGGUGGACAAGGCAAACCAUCAGAAGUUUACACCCCAACGAGAGGCAAUGGUGGUCUGUACUCUGUCGACAGAAAAUAAGAAAAUUGUAAAACUGUGCUUCCAUACUCAGAUUAAUACGUUUCUGCAAUGAGUAGAGAUAUAUUAUAAGUUGGCAGAAUUGAAUUCCCAAAGAGAAAGAGGCAGUUAUAUAUAUAUAUAUAUAUGUAGUAUGAAUGAUUGAAAAUCCAUCGAAACGUUACGUACGAAUAAUGUCAACAACUGUUCUCCCAUUUGAAAAUCUUCCUGUUGGGUUAUUCCCAAAAUCCAUUCCAUGGGGGUAAAAAUUUGCCUUAGCUAUAGUUCGAAGGUUGUUGUUGUUCCCCACAUCAACCAAGGAAUCGCCAAAAGUGAAAACAGCAGGAACAUUAUUUUGGGCUGAGCAGCUAACCAACAAAAACAAGUAGGCUACAAAAAUUUGGAAUAUAAUAUUUAUCCCCAUUAAUUUUAAGAUAGAAAUAACUUUUGAUAAGGGGGGUUGUUUAUAUACAACUUUUGAUACCUAUGGGAAUACUUGUGCCUAACUGGUCUGUGAAAUUCCCUCUCAAUUCACCAUUGAAUUUGUGCCUAACUAUCUCUAGGCCGGCCGCAGUGAUAUUGGAACGCCAUUAUUUCUGAGCUAAGUUCGUUAGGUGCCAAAGAAAAGAGGGAUCGGAGAACCCAUUUAAGAGCUUAAUACACUCUCUUUACGUUGUAUUUAGGUAGGAAAUGGAUUUCUUAGCUGUGUGGCCUGAACCCAAGGUUCUGCAUGGAAUUUACUGCCUUCAGACCACCUAUUGUCUCCUAAAUUAAAUUAAAUGUUAUCAUCAAAAAAAAUAAAUAAAUAAAUGUUAAGGUUCUGUAUGGUCUUUGUUAAAAAAAAUAUAUAUAUAAUCACAUUAUUAAACUUUUGUCUAACGGAUCAUGACAGCAUACAUAUUUCUCAACUAGUUUAGCGUCACCUACCAAUCGAUUGCACCUUUUAAUCUCAACAAAUUUUUACUAAGUAAUUAGGAGUAAAUUUUUUUCCUUUUAAUCUCAAUUUUUUUACUUGUUUUCUUUCUUGCAAUCCUUUACUUGCAAUUUGCAAAGUCCCAGUCUUUCUAGUAAAUUACUCUUCUUUGAAACAAUCGAACGAAAUGGUACUCGGCCUAAAUUGAGUCUGGAUAGCCAGCUGAGUGUUCAUCAGUUACUUGAGCAGCCUCUAUGAUGAUAAUGAUGGUCGUACUAGACCUAGACUGGUUGUUGCUUAAUUGGUUUUUGUUUGGGCGGUAGCCCUCCAUUCAACCAGAAAAUAAAUACAUAAAAAAAGUCCAACCAAAUGCCCUAAAUGUAAAUUCGACUUAAAAUUAGAAGUCAGAAACCGAUAGUAUAUCACUGGUUGAUUGAGUAGAGAGCAUAAGAUAAUUUUCUUUUUCUUUUUCAUACAAGUGAUAUUGGGAGAGGGGAGAAUCGAAACUAAGAUCUCAAGUGCAUGGAUAAAUGCUCUUGAGCUACAAGCCCCUUGCAAAGCAUAAGAUACUUACAUUCUUAUUAUAAUUCCCAUAAUGUUCUAAUGCCAUGUUUAUGAAGAGAAUGUUUUGAACUUAGGAUGAGGUUUGAAUGUUCUUGAGUUUAUUAGUGAAAAACUUAUAAACUUCAAAUUAAUGACAUUGAAAUGUGAAAUAGCUUGGAUUUGGUUCCAAAAUCUAUUUCAUCACAGAACCAUCAUGAGUUUUUGAAAAACAAACAUUUUGCAGUUUAUUCAGGGACUGCUAUGCUAGCUCAAGACUGAACAAGUUGCCUAAAAUUCAUAGGUGAUACAUAAUUUAAGCCACCAUCCAUAAUAUGCCUUGUUGCAAUAACAUUAGCAGCGUCUGUUAAGUGAAACGCAUCCCAGAAUAUAUACUUGGAUCUGUCGGGACAAAUUUUAGAAAAAGGAUUGCAUGGCACCAGUCCCACUCGGGUCACGGCAAACGAGCAGCAUGCAGAAGUUGCAUUCUCAAAGCCUGCAUACAGUGAAACACAACAACAACAACAACAGCAGCAGCAGCAGAGGUUAAAAUUGUGAUAUUAGUUAUUACAUGAUAAAUAAACAAAUAAAUGCCCCAAAAGAUAGAAUAUACACGCACCAUAUGACACAUAAUUUUUUGUGAGAUCUAGUAAUAUUUGGUAAAUAUCUACGUAAAUAAACUUUGCCCCUUGAAGAUCUUUGUUAAGCUCGGCAAGCAUGCCCUUCAACUUGUCGUUAUAUGUUUGAGCCAUACGAUUUAUCAGACGAACACAACUUCCCUUUGGAACUGGAUGUAUUUCUUUCUCAUAUGGAAUACACCCACUAGGUCCAGCGUUGGCGACGGUGAUCUUUCUAGCAUUCAAGUUGUAGAGUGUCUGCAAAGAAGGAACAAAAUUUAUAAAAAAAAAUUGUCAAAUUAAUCUGUACAAAACUACUACUAAAGAUUAAUGUGGUUAGUUUACAUGAGUCAAUAGUCUAAAUUAUUAAGGAAUUUUACUUACAGUGAGUGCUAAUUUGAGUCUUGAAAUCAAGAAAUCCAAAUAAGCUUCUUCGGACAUGGACAUGGCCAUGGGUGUAAACUCCCUGAACAUUAUAUCGUUAGAGCCAAUUACAACCCCAUAAAUGGCUCUUCUCAACAAUUUCUGAGCUGCAGGAAUGCCAAUCCUCGACAUGAUAGCAAGCACUGUUCUUCCAUGGUUACUUAUUUGCGUGUCAAAAUUGAUUCGUUCACCCUAUUAUAUAUGUACAUAAUAUUCUGACUUACAAUUAAUAAAAGCAAAUUGCACACCAUGGUAUGGUAUGUAUUAUAAGUUAAAAUUAGCUUUCUCAUAGCAUCAGGAAGCUAAUUUGAACGCAUAAUACAACUCGUUUAGUUCUGAAUUAAGACUAGCUAACUUCCUUAAAUCCAAAAACUUGUAGGUUUGGGAGAAAACUUACAAAGAAAUAUCCAGUAUAAUUGAAAAUUCCAGAGCCAGAGGAAGCAUAAUUGACACCCUGCAGAAGUGCGUCUCCAACAGUAGUUGGUGCCAAGUAAGGAGGAGUAAAUUGUGCGAAACCCAAUUCCUGUUCUGUCAUAACAAAAUGAGAAAGUAGUGAAGUUAAUUUAAGCACAUAUCUCUACAUUGUUGCAAAAAUAGUGUACAUAUAUAAAUUGUAAUACUAAUUUGCCAGAAUUGAAAGACUUGUCGUAUGAAUAUCAUCAAAACGUAUCUUACGAAGAAUGUCAAAAGUUGUUCUCCCAUUUGAAAAUUGUCCUCUUGGGUUAUUCCCAAAAUCAAUUCCAUGAGGGUAAAAAUUUGCCUUAGCUUGAGUUAGAAGGUUGUUGUUGUUCCCCACAUCAACCAAGGAAUCGCCAAAAGUGAAAAAAGCAGGAACACUUUUGUUGGCUGAGCAGCUAACCAACAAGAAGAAGUAGACUACAAGAAUUUGGAAUAUAAUCCCCAUUUCAUGAAAUAAUGAUAACCUUUCUUUCUUUUUCAUAAGGGGGUUGGUUAUAUAUGUGUGUAUGUGUGUAUAUAUAUAUAUAUAUAUGCCUAACUUGGUCUAUGAAAUUCCCUCUUUCUUCAUAUUGAUUAAAUUUGUGCCUAACUCUCUGUCGGCCACACAGUUCCAUUUGUUAUUUUUGCCUCCAUUAUUACCUUUAGAUUGACUUCAAUAAAAUUGCGUGACCAUUAGCAGAAGCCAUAAGGUCAGACUUUAAUGUCAAUACAGCCAAUGGUACUCUGAUUUCUGAGCCAAGUUUCAUAGCUAGGUUCAAAGGAAAGAAGGAAGGAGGCAGCAGAACCCAUAUUUGGGGAUUUCACUCAUCUUUCAGUUGGGCUUUGGCUAGGAAUUGGGUGUUCAUCGCUUUUGGCCUAUGCCUAAUGUCAUGAAAUUUACUCCUUCUGUAUAGGUAUAGACUACGUACCUCUUGGUCUACUUCAAAUUUUUUAAUCAACACGAACAAGAGAGGAGAAUACAAAUUAGGGUAUUCCACAUAUAAGCCCAUAUAAAUAGGGCCCAAAAUAUAGAAAAAUCCUACAAUAUUCAAACUCUAAAGAAAAAAUCCAUUUGACUUUUCGAAAUGACCAAAUAUAUAAUACAAGCCUUUAGAAACCUAAAAACAACACUCCAUGAAAGGCUUUUUUUUUUUUUUUUUUUUUUUUUCCCUUUUAAAAAUCAUAAUGCAAGGAUAAUAAUAGUAUUUCACACAUCAUUCAAAUUAAAAAUUGGUACAUCUGAUCCUUGUUGGGUUUUUUCCUUCAAUUUAUAGGUCAGUGUUUAUAUAUAAAAUCAAUGCAAGAAAUGAGGUUUAUUAUAAAUUUCUCUACAAAGUAGGGCAUCUUCAAGAUUAUGAGUAUUUAGGUUGUCUGCAUUGUUGGCAUGACUUGUGGAUAUUGACUUACUUUCCUUACACACCAAGAAUUCCUAUUAUAAUUGUAAUUGAUUUACUUUAAUUCAUGAUUUCCUACUGCAAAUAGAUUUAGGAACUUAUUAUUUACUUGCCCAUUCAGGUUUCGUUGUAUUAUAAAUAUGACCUCCUACAAGGAGAAGAAUACACAGAAAAUUCCCACAAACAAAUAUUCUCUCAUAGUUUUUAUAUUUUAGCAUGGUAUCAGAGCAGCGAUCUUGGAAUUGCUGACUCUAGUUUCAAACCCCCGCCGCUGCUAUGGGGGUUAAUGAUUUUUUCAACCCUCAUGGAGGUAGCACUACCGACUCCUUCUCUCAUUCUCCACCAACCAUCGUUGAGUUGAGUGCCCAGAUGGCUCCGCUCCUACAGAUGCAGACUUUGACCCCGAACCCGAUCCAGAAUCAGGAUCCUCUUUGAAAGACCCUGACCCCGACCCGACCCCGACUAUGACGACGACGACCCCGACCCCGACUCCGAAGACGACCCCGACCCCGACUCCGAAGACGACCCCGACCCCUACUCCGAUGAUGACCCUAACCCCGAAUUUGUCUCUGAUUCAGACCCUGAUCCCGAUUUCGACUCCGACUCCGGCCCCGACUCAGGUUCAGAUUUCGAUCCCAAUUCCUACUCCACCUGUAUCCUAUGCAUCUUCCGCUGCACAGAUUAUGACUACUAGACUAACGACCCCGACACAUGGACUAGAUUGCGCAUAUUGUGGUGAUCCGAGACGCACUUGUGAGACUUGUUUUAAAUCGCAUGGCUACCCCAAUUGGUGGGCUACUCUUAUAGAUCGAGGACAAUGCAAUAUGACCAGUAAUGGUACUGGUUAUGGAUUUCAUACUUCCGAUAAGAUUGAUUCCAGGAGCUGGAUAAUUGAUUCCGGUGCAACUGAUCAUAUGACGUUUGAUCCUGAUGAUUUUCUGAAUACUACACAACCUCGACGAACCUGUAUUGCAAAUGCCAAUGGUGUUACUUAUCCUGUGACAGGGGCUGGCACUGUUGCACUCUCAUCCUCUCUUACACUGUCUAAUACUUUACUUGUUCCAUCUUUAUCCACUAAAUUGUUGUCAGUUAGUCAGCUUACUGAACAAUUGAAUUGUUGUGUACUCAUUUACCCGAGUUUUUGUUUGCUUCAAGAUAUUCACACUAAGGAGAUUCUUGGUCUUAGUACUAAGAGAGGGGGGCUAUAUUAUGUCGAUGACUUCAGUCCCGGCAUGGCUAACAACGUGACACAUCCCUUUGAUAGCAAACAAAAGCAAAUCUGGUUGUGGCACCGUCGAUUGGGACAUCCGUCUUUUAGUUAUAUGAAGCAUCUUAUACCAGAUUUAUUCUCAGGUUUCAAGGACUCUGACUUCACAUGUGAUACUUGUAUUUUGGCCAAGAGUCACCGUGUGCCCUACCCGUUGAGUACGAACAAGUGUACUACUCCAUUUACGUUAAACCACUCUGAUGUCUGGGGACCUUCUCCUAUCACUGCUCCUUCUGGUGUUCGAUGGUUUGUCACAUUCAUCAAUGAUUGUAUACGGAUGACAUGGCUUUAUUUGCUGAAGAAAAAAAACAAAGUGUUUUCCUGUUUUCAGUCCUUUCACAAACAGAUGAAAACUCAGUUUAAUGCUCAAAUCCAGAUUCUUCGCUCAGACAAUGGUGGAGAAUUUGUCAAUCACGACUUUCAGACUUACUUCCAACAACAUGGAAUUAUCCAUGAGACGACUUGUCCUCAGACACCACAACAAAAUGGUGUUGCUGAACGAAAGAAUCGACAUCUUCUUGAAACCGCCCGAGCACUUCUGAUUGGCGCUCAUGUUCCUCGCCAUCACUGGGAUGAUGCUAUUGUCACCGCAGUUCAUCUGAACAACCGCAUGCCUUCUGGUGUACUGACCUUUAAAACUCCUUUACAGGUGCUUGCACAACACAGACCUCUACAUUCUGUUUUGGUACUCACACCCCGAAUCUUUGGAUGUGUGGCUUUCGUUCAUCUCCAUAAAAAUCAACGUAGCAAACUUGAUCCAUGUGCGCUUCGUUGUGUUUUUGUGGGUUAUGCCACUCAUCAGAAAGGCUACCGCUGUUAUCACCCUCCUACCCAACGAACCUAUGUCACUUUGGAUGUGACCUUUCUGGAAUCUGAGCUGUUCUUCCAUGACCCAUCAUCCAAUUCUACACUUCAUGGGGAGAUACGAAGUGAAGAGCAGAAUUGGAGCAACUUGGAAAAUAAAGAAAUUCUCCUUUGUACAGAAAUGAUUGAUCAUUCCGAGUCUGGAGCACGAGAUUACUCUCUGUCAAAAAGCGACCAAUCGCCCAUUCAUAGCGAUCAAUUGCCUGACCCACCUGAUCCAUGCGAAGAUAUUUCUGAUCCGAGUCUCACACCUAUAGACAAUACAGAACAACAAGAUGAAGACCCCCCCUCUAACUCAACAGUACCAACAGACCAAUCUCCUGAGAAUAUCCUUGAGGUAACUACUCCUACUAGACUUGUGCAUUUAGAUGAUAAAACUAUUGGAUAUCAAUUACCUUUCAGGCAAAAUUGUGGGAAGCCACCAAACCGUUAUUCACCUGAUAUUGGCAAGACAUCCAAGUAUCCAAUUGCAAAUCAUGUAUCUACUGAGAAGCUGUCUGAACCACUCAAGGCUUUUGUGCAUCAGUUGUCUGCUAUCCAUAUUCCAACCAAGGUCUCUGAAGCAUUGAAAGAUCCUAAGUGGGUACAAGCUAUAAAAGAGGAGAUGAAAGCCCUUGAGAAAAAUCAGACUUGGACAUUUGAGACUAUACCGUGAGGAAAAAAGACUAUCGGAUGUAGAUGGGUGUUUACUAUAAAACACAAUGCAGAUGGAUCUAUCGAGCGAUACAAGGCAAGACUUGUGGCAAAAGGGUACACACAGACCUAUGGUAUAGAUUAUGAAGAAACCUUUGCUCCAGUUGCAAAGUUAAACGCUGUCAGAGUCUUAUUAUCCCUUGCAGCUAAUUUGGAUUGGCCACUACACCAGUUUGAUGUAAAGAAUGCUUUUCUACAUGGCGAACUCACGGAGGAGGUGUACAUGGACAUUCCUCCUGGAUAUAAUACUACUCAGACUGGAACAGUUUGCAGGUUACGAAAAGUAUUGUAUGGAUUGAAACAGUCACCACGUGCAUGGUUUGGACGGUUCACCAUGGCAAUGAAGAACAAUGGUUUCAAACAGUGCAACUCAGAUCAUACUCUGUUCUUGAGACAUCAAAAAGGGAAGGUAACAGUAUUAAUAAUCUAUGUUGAUGAUAUGAUUAUUACUGGGAAUGAUAAACAGGAAAUAUCACAGCUACAAGACUAUCUGGCUACGGAGUUUGAGAUGAAGGAUCUAGGUGGACUCAAGUAUUUCUUGGGAAUUGAGGUGGCUCGAUCGCAGCAAGGCAUAUUUCUCUCUCAAAGGAAAUAUGUCUUAGACUUGUUGACAGACACAGGAAUGCUAGAUUGUAAACCUGCGGACACUCCUAUUGUUCAGAAUCAUCAUAUUGGAGAAUAUCCGGAUCAAGUUCCAACUAACAAAGAAAGAUACCAAAGGUUAGUGGGAAGAUUGAUCUAUUUGUCACAUACUCGACCAGAUAUUGCUUAUGCGGUGAGCGUUGUCAGUCAAUUUAUGCACUCUCCUAGUGAAGACCAUAUGAAUGCAGUUCUUCGGAUACUUAGAUAUUUGAAGUCUGCACCUGGAAAAGGACUUAUGUUCUCAAAGCAUGGUCAUCUAAAUAUUGAUGGUUAUUCAGAUGCAGAUUGGGCAGGUAAUGUAACAGAUAGAAAAUCCACAUCGGGUUACUUCACAUUCGUGGGAGGUAAUUUGGUGACAUGGAGAAGCAAGAAACAGAAUGUAGUAGCUUUAUCCAGUGCAGAAGCUGAGUUCAGAGGCAUGACUAAAGGGAUUUGUGAACUUCUUUGGUUAAGAAAGUUGCUUACUGAACUUGGGUAUAAACCUACAUCCACAAUGAAUCUCUUUUGUGACAACAAGGCUGCUAUAGCCAUUGCACAGAAUCCGGUUCAGCAUGAUCGUACUAAACAUGUUGAGGUGGAUCGACACUUCAACAAACAAAAGCUUGAGGUUAAAGUGUUUCAGUUUCCUUUUGUGAAAUCCGAGGAUCAAUUGGCGGAUAUUUUGACAAAGGCGAUUUCCAGUAAAGCAUUCCACAAUUCACUAGAUUAGUUGGGCAUUGGCGACAUCUAUGCACCAACGAGAGGGGGAGUGUUGGCGUGACUUGUGGAUAUUGACUUACUUUCCUUACACACCAAGAAUUCCUAUUAUAAUUAUAAGUGAUUUACUUUAAUUCCUGAUUUCCUACUGCAAAUAGAUUUAGGAACUUAUUAUUUACUUGCCCAUUCAGGUUUCGUUGUAUUAUAAAUAUGACCUCCUACAAGGAGAAGAAUACACAGAAAAUUCCCACAAACAAAUAUUCUCUCAUAGUUUUCAUAUUUUAGCAUGCAUUUUCAUGAAUUUAGGCUAUCCUCAUCCUUUAAUUAAUCUAAUGUCUCAAGUAGCUCUACGUCAAUAUAAAUCUUUUAGGCCCAACUCACCUUUAUGAUUUUUGUUUAUGUUCAUCAUUUUCUUCUCUGGUCUAUCUUCUCUUAUGAACCAAAAACCUCAUUCUAGUUUAUGUUAUCUAUCUCCUCUAAUAUGUCAGCCUCCCUUUGCACUCCAUUCCAAUCACGUUUGGUCUUGGAAAUAGGACUGUGAUUAUCAUUGUUCAUAAUCUUAGGUGUAUAUAGUUAACCCAACGAAUUAGUUCACAGUUUUGGGCUUCAAAUCUAUUGCCUCAAACAAAUUAGCAAACCUAAUUCACAUUGCUGAACAAAUUUUAUCUGCUGAUUCAACUAAAAUGCGAAAAGAAACAAAAAGAGAGCUUUAGUGAUAUACCCAAAAUAGAGGCUGAAAUUAUAAAAAAACCCUACAUGAAAUACACUUUAGAAACAUACCCAAAAAUCAUUUACUACAUACAAAAUGAGUGUUGAAUUUUCUAUAAAUUACAUGACUGCCACUAACUAACUUAAAAGAAGCCCAAUACAAAAAACCCAAAAAAACCUAAAACAAGCCCAAUCCAGAUUUUUAUUUUUUUUAUUUAUAAAAAAAACGAAAACCAAGGGCAUGCCCCUACGACCCUUUCUUCUCCAUCGAACCUCUGCAAACCAUGUCAUAGAAGUACAUUGUUAAUACCAUUUCAUAGGAAAACAUUGUUAAUACCAUUUCAUACAAAAACAUUGUUAAUACCAUUUCAUACCAAAAAAUAUAUAUAUAUAUUUUUAAUACCAUUUCUUACAAAAAGAUAUUGUUAAUACCAUUUCAUACAAAUAGAACAUUGUUAAUACCAUUUCAUACAAUAAACCAUUGUUAAUACCAUUUCAUAGAAAUACAUUGUUAAUACCAUGUCAUAGACGUACAUUGUUAAUAUCAUGUCAUAGAAGUACAUUGUUAAUACAAUUUCAUAGAAAACAUUGUUACUACCAUUUCAUAGAAAACAUUGUUAAUACCAUUUCAUACAAAAAAACUCAAAAAAAACCCAGUAAUACAUCCGAUAUUCUGUGCAGAAACGACCUCUAAUUGUCCAAAGUUUCACCAGAAAUCAUCGCAAAGGCAAAAGGAAAUACCUCUACAAGAAAAAAAAAAAAGUACACUGUUAAUACUAUGUCAUAGAAGUACACUGUUAAUACUAUGUCAUAGAACUAUUUGAAAGUGUUACCUUCAUUACCUUAGUGAUAGUCACAGAUUUUUAACCACAGCUCAAACCAAAACACAAGAUUAAAUUCACAACCAAACUGAAUCUAAAAUCAAUCCAAAUUAUAAACAACAAAAAAUUAAAAUCACAAUUCAAAACUCAAAUGAAUAUCAAAUACAAAUUACCUAAGUGGCCUAAACCGAAUCGUCAUCGAGACGCUAUCCCCAACGCCUUCACGAUGACCGCCACCUCAGUAGCCAACGCCGCCAUAUCCUCCGCGGCUGUAACCUCCGUUACCACCACCACCACCGUCGCUUCCACGAGAUUGGGCCUCAUUGACGGUUAUGUUACGGCCGUCAAGGUUCUAGCCGUUUAUGCCUUCGAUCGCGUCCCUUAUGGCCUUCUCGUGGUUGAAAGUGACGAAGCCGAAGCCCCUGGACCUCUCGAUCUCACGGUCGUUGAUGAUCUUCGAUUCGAUGAUCUCACCGAACAGAGAAAAGGCCUCUGCAACCCAUCAUUGUCGGUGGAGGAAAGAGUCGGCCUCAUGGAUCAGGACCCGAGUCCACUUCUUGAGUUGUAAAAUGACCUUGCCUAUGACUAAGAUGCGAGAGAUUGAGCUAUGAGAUUUGGAAAUAGCUGCAAGAUCUAUGAGAAAGCAAGUGAGAGAUCUAGAAAGCAAUGAAAAUUAGAGAUGCGGCUCUGACGGGGAGGUUAGUGAAAUCGGCAGUUCGUCGAUUUCUCACAGACCAGCUCCUAGAUUUUGAAGGAGCAAUCGCCGUUUAUCUUAAUUGAGCCUUGGAGCUGGGUUUAUUUUGGGCAAAAGGGCAAAACAAUAAUUCAACAUUGCUAUUAAAUUUAAAAAAUCUACAGCUGUCGAUUUUUGGGUUUAUUUUGGGUGUGUUUCUAUACUUUAAAUAGUAUAGGGUAUAUUUAUAGUUUCAUGUCUAGGAAUGGGUAUUUCACUAAUUUUGUAAAACAAAAAUUAUUACUUCACCAGCCACCAUAGCCUCUAAUCCGGUUAUUUUGUAAUAAUGUUUGAUGUUGUAAGGGCCAACAAAUCUUUCCAUGGCAGGGACCAUUUGACGGAACCUAACAGCAGGGACUAUUUGUGAGCACACAUACUAACUUUGAGGACCAUGAAUGACAAAAAAAAUAAUAAAGAUGCAAUAUAAUAGUUUUGUAAAUCUUAGAGACAUUUGAUGAUACUAAGCCUAUAUAUAUACACAAAAUGUGACAUUAUAAUUCCAACAUUCUCUUGAAAUUCUUCAAAAGUCAUAGCUUGGGUUUAAGUUUCGCAUUUGUUGCAAACUACAUGACUAUUCAAUACAUCAACGCUCGAGUCUCAUUACAGGAUUAGGGAGAGACAUAAAAUUAAGUUAAGCCACCAUCCGUACCUUAUCUCUUUAGUUUUCCUUUUCUUUUUUAGGAAAUUAGUCUGGCUUUAGUUAGGAAAUGCUGGGUUUAGGUUGCUACACAAAUUUUAGUUUUGCUUUGUAAAUUUUCGGUGUGUGGCCUUUGCUUUUGAGUUUCGGGGUUGUGUUCUUGUGUUUGAGCAUGUUUUGUUGGGCCUUUUAUUGCUCAUAGGCUUAAUUGAUCGUAUUUUAAUCAGAACAAAACAGAGGAUUUGAACAUGAAACGAGCCGAAAAGAAAAAAAUGUAUGUAUGUAUUGAAAAAUAAAAAGUAAAUCUUCUUGAUCCAAAGUUUGGAAAGCACUGAAGAUUCGAAUUCAACAUGAACUGAAUAGUUUUGGUAGCAACAAUGGUAUUGCAAUUUAAAUUAACAAACACCUCUGACUCUCAGUCCAAUACAUUGCAUAUCUUUCUAACAACACCUUGAUUCCCACUCAGGACACCAGAGCUAGAGAACUUGACAAAGGCAGAAGAAAAUGCCUGAAAGAAACCAUCCUGAUCGGCAGCAAAUCUCUUGACAGCGAGAGCUGUGCGCGGGUCCAUCACCAUUUCAGCAUCAACUCUAAGUACCCCAUGGCCUCUAAUUACAUUAUUGUAGUAGUGGUUGUCGAAUGUAAGUGUUGUAGGGUCAUUAAGAACGAAGCUUGCAUUUGAUGUCAAAGAGCCUUGAGGACAGUUUAUCCUUAGGAAUGCUUCAAACAUGGGCGCCAUGCCUUCUACACGCCCACCUUGAUCAAGUCUGCUUAGACGAUUUAGAAUGUUCAAACAAUGUGUCACCCCUAGUGUGUGCGCGCCUGCAAAUUGCAAUAAUAUGUUUUUGGACAUGUUAGUUUCAUAAAAAGAACAAAAAGGUUGGUUUUUCAAAAAAUGCGCACUGUUUUGAAGAAACCCAAUAGAACAAGUUCGUGUUGUUGUUACCCAUUAUGGCCACAGAUUCUUCGACUGUCAUCCCUUUCUUUGCAAAUAGUUGAAGCAUGCCAUCAACUCCGAUGGUGGCAGAAGGAAGCAAAGAAUCUGCAAGCUUAUAGCUUGGAGGAACAGAAGAGUCUCUUCUUCCCAAAGGAACCUUUAUCUGUGGCCCUCCUGACGCAGACACUGCCUCCCGAGCAGUUAAGACAAGAAUGUCGGAGCAAGAAACCUGUUGGGGACAUUCUAAUUCAACUAUUGACUUGAGAAUGUUGAUUGACUCUCUCUUUCUGAUACCAAAGUUUUUCCCUGCAGCCAUCUCCGAUGACACAGUGUUCUCAUUUGGAUCCACAAGAAUUGAAGCAUCACAGCCCUGUUGUUACAAAAUCAAACCAUCAUUUAUUGAAAAAAUAUAACUAAUAAAAAAUAGACUGCAGAGUUUCUAUUUUUAAGCCAUGCACUUCACCCUCGUUAUUUGGGCUUAUAUCUCAACUAACCCAUGCCUCAAAUUCCUAAACUGAGAGAGAGAGAGAGAGAGAGAGAGAGAGACAAAGAAAAAUAAAAAAAAGACCUGAACUUGGCAAUCAUGGAACAUGAGCCUCAACAGAGCUGCAGGAGCAGUGGGAUCAGCGAGAAAAAUAGGUUGGAGGGCAGCUCUAACAAUGGCCUCGACUUGUGGGCAUGAGUUCUCAUAGAAAUUAUAAGAAAGCCCUUGCCCUUCAGCUCCAAUGCUGAACACAAACAGAGAUAUGCCUACCACUAUAGCUCUCAGAUCCAUUGUGAUGAUUGGCUGGAGUAUUUAAAAAUAAAAUCCUAUGUGAACUUCAAUGCUGCUGCUAUGACUCCCAGAAAACAGAGGACUGUGGCACCACCAGUAGCAGUAUGUGAACUUAAAAGGAUGCCAGUCCAAUUUACCUCCAGUGGAGGGAUCAAUUUUCUUUUAUAAUUGUAAUGCAAUUAUGAACUUGUAAGGCAGCUUAUCCUGUGAAGUAAAUGCUAGAAUUCUACUUAUAGUUUGCCACUAAUAUUCUGUUCUGCAAAUUUUAUUUUGUUUACACAAACCCAGUUGGUAAGUAAUUAUAACUAAACCCUACCCUAAUUACAAUUUACAUCCUUCCCUUUUACCAUGGUGAAUGUCAAGUUCAUCCAUCAUGUGAAGGAUACUGUUUGCCUCCUUUCCUAAUCACGGUUUGAUACAUGUGCAAAAAUAAUUCAUUAAAAACACAAAAAGAAAAAUGUGUGAGAGCAUAUAGGCGUUGCUUAGCAUGUGUCUGACUAAUUCAUAAUGAGCAGUUGAGUCUGGCGGUGGACUGUACUUAAAAUUCCAACCAGAAUCCAAAUAAUGCAGCAGGCAAAAGUUUAAGGCUCAUUUCCAUUUCAUUGAGAAAAAAAAUCAGAAACGAGAUUUUGUUAGAAAAAGAAAAAGAUUGAAGCAUACGAGCCACAAAACAAGAAAAACUUCGACGAGCAAACGAGCCCACUUAUUAAUUAUCUGUCGGUCAAUAUCAGGAAGUUAAGCUUUUCAUGGUUGGUUGGUGGUGGUUCCCACAAACUUUGAUUGGCAUUUUGCAUUGUCAAAAUCAAAUAUGCAAUGCCUUUGAUGGGUUGAUCUUAUCCAACCCCUCCCCACAUUUUAAAUGUCUAUUCCAUAUUUAUUCUUGUAACUUUAAUUGGAUUUGAAGCAUUACUGCUCCCUGCCUUUGAGUAUUUCUGUCUUUGAGUAGAAGGUGUGUGAGUUUAGUAUAUUGUCUUUCUCAAAUGCAUAUUGUAUAUGAAUUUAGUAUAUCGCUUUUCUCAAAUGCACACUGCAUAUAAUUUGGUGCUUUGGUUUGGAAAAUGACCUGCAACUGCCGAAGUAAACGAAGACGGCAUCAUUCACAUGUUCAUGGCGAAGCCAUGUUUUUUGUUUUGUUUUGUACAAAAGAAAAAGCAAGCAUGGCUUUAAAUUUUUAAUCAAUAUAUACAUUCAAACAUCCAGAGGAGAAAUGUAAUGCCAAAAGAAGAGACACGUGUCGAGCGGAGAAUUCUAGAGACUGAUGACACACCGCUCUCAUCAAGAAUAUCGUGAGGCUGUUUUACAAUUGAUGAUCUUUGUUUUUGUUAGUACCACUGUAGAUCUUAUGGGUUUCACUGAUUUCGGUGGUUUGUUCUCAUAGAGAAUGCAUGUCAACACCUCAAUGCAAAAGAAUAGACCGAUCACUGCACUCCAACUGUAUUGUUUUGGACCCAACCCAACGCUCCUAUCUUAUUUAUGAAGUCUGAGCUCUCUUCAUCAGGCAGGCUCCACUUAAACCAAUUGACAUUGAAAUUACUUAAUAAAAGCUGACCAAGUGCACAAUUUUGGUAAUGCCUCUUAAUACCAUUUAUAGGAAGGUCAGGGGUUCGGGUAUUGUAAAGAAUUUUUUGGGGAGAGCUUUCUGUAAACAGCGAUCCGGUUCGGAGUGGUAGCCUAUUAACUACCAUUUUUUUUCACCAAAAAAAUUAAUAAGCUUUAGAAUUUAAGUAUUGCAAUGUUUUCUUCUACAGUGCGGAUGUCCAAAUGUUAUUACCUCCACAAUUAUUGAGAAGACUAUCGAUGAGAGAUCGUACAUAUAUGUAAGCGUAGUAGAAAAAGAGGAGAUUUUUUACCUCCACUUGACAAGCACACAUGUUCAAAGGCUAGAAAGCAUAGAGCACUUUCAAAGUUUCUAGGGUUGACAUAAGAUUUGUUAGAGCCUUUUGUAUUUAUACUUACCACUUUAAAUUCUAACGAAAUCGCACAACUCAUUUAUUCCUUCAAAAUAAAUGACUUUUUGAAUACAUCUAAACUUUGUUUAACUUCUAAAAAGUCAUAAUUGAAUACAUCUAGAUUUCGAUGUAUUUUUUUAAAGUCAAUUGAAAUCUAAAUUGAAUACACCCAAACUUUUACAAAUUCUUUUAAAAUCUUAAUUGAAUACACCUAGAUUUUUAAACUCUUUUAAAAUCUUAAUUGAAUACACCCCCUCCCAAAGAACCAAUUAGAAUAACAAGUGGCUAAUUUUGAGUUUUUCUCUCCAAAUAGGCUCUAUAUGAGUUUUUGUACGAUAUGUUAUGCUAAAAUGAGUUUUUUAAUAAAUAUCUAUAUUUUUUCUACUACCCCUCCUUGCUCUCCUCUAUGUUUACAAUGACGUCCGCACGAUAAUAACGUCUGGACGUCUGUAUAGGAGAAUAACUAUAUAUGUAUAUAUAAGUAAUAUAAACAUAUAUAACCAACUAGUUAUUCAUCUGCCAAGAAACCCUAGCCGCUCUCUCCCUCUGUGAAUCCUAAAGGAAAAUUCCAUAGAAAGGAGAGGAGGAAAAAACCGUCACUGCCCAUCAUCCCCCUCAUCUCUUCUCGUCUUUUCCUUUUAGGUUAAUGAAUAAGUCCACUGGGACGUUUUGAACAAAAAGCCCAUUGUGGUGGUUUCUUUUGAGUCAUGGUUAAGUUGAAGUUCAUCAUCACCCAUUUUAGUCUAUGCUCUCAAUCAAAACAUGUUCUCUAACGUCGUUCAUGUUCUCUAAAUUUGAUUCUACAUCGUUGUUGACGGAGGUUGCUGCAAAUCACUCAAUUGUUCUCUAGCAAUGUUGUUAUUUUCGUUUAUUUGUUUGCUCUUAUGCGCAGGUAAAUCACUGGAAAUUAUAUUUUCCCUAGAUAUGUUAUGAAUGAGGUGGUGGGUGUGGCCACAACGUAGGACUCGUCAAUGGGCGGGGCCGGGCUAGUCUGGCCCAAAUUUAAUGAGCUUGGGCCAAGCCGAGCUAGGCUUUAAAGAGGAGAGAGAAAAUAUCGGGCCGGGCUAGAUUUUUUUAGAAAAUUCAAAGCCAAGCCCGACCCAUGAGCCGAGCUUGAGAAAGCCCAUUGGCCGGGCCGGGCCUAAACGGGCCCUACUUCAUUCAAAAAAAAUCAUAAACUUAAUCAUAAGGGCAUUUGAGUCCAAAUUUGAGAUUAAACGCACUUAAUUCCAAUAUUUUCACAUCAAACCAAAUUCAUAAAACAUCCAAUAAAGUCACACAACUUAUAAAAUUUUCCACAAAAAUAAUAAAACCAAGUAUUAUUUUUGAGGUUAUUACAUAAUUAGAUCGUAAUACGUUUUAAGAAAUAAUUUUAAAAAAUAAUAAGUAUCAAAAAAAAUUUUUUUUUAAGGAUGGUAUGAAUAAAUAUGCAAAUAUUUGGUGCUGUGUUCAAGAAAAGCAUGAUUAUAUUUGGUGGUACGAUUAUAUUUCGUGAUAUGAUUAUAUUUGGUGAUGUGAUAUGUUGUUCAUCUUAUAUAUAAUUGUUGAAUUAAUAAUUCACACAAAUUAAUGUGCUAAUCAUCCAAUUAUAAACUAGGAAUGAGUAAAGAGAAGUAAAUGAAAUGAAACAAAUUAUAUAUGUGAUUUAAGUGAUAUAAUCCUAAACCUAAACUCAUAUUUAUACAUAAUUAUAUAUGUAUGCGGGCCUAACGGACAGGGUUUUUGUGGGCGGGCCGGGCCGAGCUUUUUUUCAAUGGGCCAGGUGGGCCCCCAUCAGCCCAUGAGCCCGCAGGCUAAAUGAUGAGGCCUACCACAACAGCACUUCUUCAGGUGGUGGUGGUAGAGUUCAUUUAGGAUCUUGAGUUGUUUUAAGGUUUUUGUUAUGUUGGGUUUGUGGGUUUUGUUUGGGUUUAUGAUUAAUUGUGGUGAUAUAGGCUAGUAGUUUUAGUGCGGCUUUUGUCCGUGUUAAUUUUAUUUUUAACAUGCUAAUUUGUUACUCUCUUGGAAUUAAUAUUUUAGAUGUCUUUGAUUGUAUCGUUGAAGUUUAUCUAAUAAAGUUUCUAUUUGAUUUAUUUUAAAAAAAGUAAUAUAUACCAAUUGUUUCUCUACCUGGUAAACCUCAAACUUCGUGCAAAUAUUUAUAUUGUAUUUAUGUUGAAUGUACCCACAACAUAGAAUUAACGUUUCUUGCUAUAAAAAUUCUGGACCAAAAUUGUAUGCAUCUUUUAUUUAUUUAAUGGUAUACAUGCAGUUGUAUGUUAAGCAACAAAAGAAAAUUUUGUAACCACGUCAUCAUUUUAAGACUGCCAUAUAUUGAACGGUUACACACGGACGAGCUAAAACCUACCUACAACGGUGUUUGUACACCAUUUGUGUGUGUUUCUCUCCCCAUUUUAGAACAUGUGCCUACCUGUCCACCCUCUCAAUUGCUCAUGAAAAACAAAGAAGUUGAAAAUAAGCAAAUGAAAAGAGAAGAACCAGACAAGAAUCCAACGGAGGCCCUCUAAAAUAGAUGGGAAUUUCGUUUAGCCAACAAUAAACCCCACUAUAUAAACUCUUGACCCAAAUUGAAGAUUUUGCUCUCCCUAAAACAUGGCUGGGUCUACAUCCACAACAUUCAUUACCUUGGCAAUCAUUUUUUCCAUCGCAGUAACUUUCACAAAUGUUGUCGAUGGAUUGACUGCGGAAACAGUAAUUGACUCUCCCCUGUUGACCCAAAAGAUUAACAGCAACCGCACCAUCAAGGUCGAUAUCAAUGGCAAGGGAGAUUUCAAAUCUGUUCAGGCUGCCAUUGAUUCUGUUCCUGAAGGAAAUAGUAAGUGGAUCAUCAUCCAUGUUAGGAAAGGGGUGUACAGGUAAUUCACCAUCAGUUAGAGCCUCUUUUGGAAUUAAUUAGUAAGUUUUUUUUUUAGGUAUUACAUUAUCUCUAAUGCAUUAUAUGUUUUGUCCGGCAGAGAAAAGGUGAUCGUACCACGUAGUAAGCCCUAUAUAUUCAUGAGAGGAAAUGGGAAGGGAAGGUCCGCCAUUGUCUGGUCCCAAAGCUCUUCGGACAAUGUCGAAUCUGCUACUUUCAGCGUCGAAGCUCCCCACUUCAUUGCCUUUGGGAUUAGCUUCAAGGUUCAUCAUCAUUUCCUUCUUCUACUGUUUUUAGAUGAUAAUCUAAACGAAACUCUCAAGCAAAGAAAAACUUAAUCAUUCUCUUAUCGGAAGCGAGGAUUAAAUUUCUGACUGUCUAUAUAUAAUUGAACGAUGAAUCAAUGUGCAGAAUGAGGCUCCCACAGGUGUGGCUUACACCUCGCAGAACCAGUCAGUGGCAGCAUUUGUGGCAGCAGACAAAGUAGCAUUUUACCAUUGUGCAUUUUACAGUACCCAUAACACCCUCUUCGAUUAUAAGGGCAGGCAUUAUUAUGAUAACUGCUACAUCCAAGGCUCAAUCGACUUCAUCUUUGGACGUGGUAAAUCUGUCUACCACGUAAGUAUUAGUACUCCAAUUUAUCAUCAUUUUUGUUUUUAUUUUUGGGGUUUUCAUAUUGUUAAUUUCACAAGAGUAAAUUAAUAUAAAUGUAUACAAUUAAUGCAGGGCUGUGAGAUCUUUGUGAUUGGAGACAAAAGGGUGUCAAUUAAGGGGUCUGUGACAGCUCAAAAUAGGGAGAGCGAGAAGGAGAACAGUGGGUUUGUGUUCAACAAGGGCAAGCUGUAUGGUGUUGGGGACACUGUGUAUCUUGGCAGGGCCAAGGGUGCCUUUUCCAGAGUUGUUUAUGCACACAUGUAUCUCUCCAAAACCGUCGUGCCUCAAGGCUGGACCAAUUGGAGCUAUGCUGGUGGCACAGAGUAAGAACCAACUAACUAACAUGUCCUUGUUUUUUUAAAUACAAGCAAUAGAAAUUUAAAAUACGAGGAAGAAUGGAAUUUCUCACAUACACAUACUAAUAAGGUGUUAUUGGGGUUCGAACCCGAGAUCACUUACGUUUCUCACACACACACUAACAUGUUGUUUUUUGUUCCCUUAAUUGUAUUGGUUGUUAUAUUAUGCCAAAGUUUUGGUCGACUAACACAGAAUGUUGUGGGAUGAUUAUGAAAAUGUACAGAACCUUAUACCAUGCGGAAUAUAAAUGCAAAGGGCCAGGAGCCGAGGCUGGAGGGCGAGCUGAAUGGGCCAAACAACUCACUGAAAAAGAAGCUGCCCCCUUCUUGUCUAUCGACUUCAUCAAUGGCCAGGAAUGGCUCCCAGUGUGGCUAUGAAUUAAUUAACCCUUAAUUAAUUGAUGUUUGUUUGUUCAUGAACCUCGAUCAUUAGAUCAUUAGCCGGGAGUUUACGACAUUGAUCGAACAUGCAAUGCAAGAGGCUCAUAUAUGUUUGAUUAAUCCCUAUAAUUUCUUUCCAUAUACAAAUGUAAAACUCUGUAUUAUAAUCAAAACUUACAUUAUGCAGAUAUAUAUGUGGUUCUAUCCAAUCCAUUAUCCAAUCAAUUGCUAGCUACAAUCUAAUUCAUGUUAAUUCUUUCAAGCUUAUUACUCAAUUCAGAUUCUAGCUUGUACUACAAGUAAUGUCAGCAGUCGCUUGUUCCAACAUUGGGUUUUAUAAAUCAGAAUAUAUAAAUGUUGGUUUUCUACACUACAAGAAAAAAGUCAUUUAACAACGCACAUUGUGCGUUGUGAAAACGUAUUGACAAUACACGGCACACGUUGUUGAAGCCGAUAUCAUUAGAAGCUCUAUGGCUUUCAAUGAUGCACUUUGCAUGUUGUCCUUGAUUUGAUCGCGUGUUGUAAACACCAGUAAUGGCAACGUGCGCAUGUUGUGAAAGUAUAGAACAACAACGUAUUCUGCAUGUUGUUGUAUGUUUGAUUGACAACGUUCAUGCGCGUCUUGUUGUUUUACAUUUCAACAACACUCUUUGCACGUUGUGAUAUUAAAUAUUAUUACUUUUAAUAUUAUUUUUAGAAUUACUUUAUAACAAUACAAUCUAGCCAAGUAUAACCAUUUUCUUCCUUUUCAACCAUAAGAUAACCCAGAAUAGAGUUUUCAUUAAGAAAAAAAAUAGCUCCAUACAUAUUAGAAAGAUCAACAAAUCCAUUGUCAAGUUACAUUUGUCCAAACGGAAAUGAAGGGAAAUUGUACUAUCAGAGUAAUUCAACUUCAACAUUUUGUUAAGCAUGGUCUAGCAAACUGAUUAGUUACAUUUCAAAGUCUUGAAGCACCUGAAGAGAUCCAAGAACCGAGCAUCCAAGCAAGAAUGGUGCACCUAUGGAAACUCAUUUGAUUGUUUGCUCCCGUGUCGUUAUCUAGUAAAAAAUUCCAUAAGGCUAUGAGCAAAUAAAAAAAAUAGACAUAACCAAAAUAAUAAAUAAAUAAUAACAAAUUAUUCCAAUUGCUAAGAAGUCUACUGUCAAAAGCAAUGCUUGCAUAAACUAUAAUGUAUCUCCAUGAAAAGCUAUGAAUAUAUAUAUAUAUAAUUCUUUUCGGAGAUUUUACUACACAUAUCUAUUCUAGUACAAACCAGCUAUUAGCAUGCAACUCUGGGCAACAUUUUGCGAAGUCAAGGUGAGAUUCUGCCAAAAACUGUAAGACAUUCACUUUACCACAAAGUAACACUAUAUACAAGUACCACACCAUGCAUCAUAUUAAAUAUCUUGUCACCCACUGCCUAUAAGAUGCCUCACCUGAUAAACGGACCAACCUCCAUUACACUACCAUAAUUCUUCUUCACAACCUAAUUUCAAAAUACAUCUUUCCCACCGCCUAUUAUCACCUCCAUUUUCCCAUAUACUGCAAGAUUCAGCAACAUUUAAAACAAAUUGUAACCCAACCAACCCAGUGGUAUCCACAAUCGCCUUGACCAUUCCAUUAAAAGAAAUGGUGGAUUUUGUAAAACAGUUUUCAAGCUACAAGUGAAGGGCCAGUAAAUGAAGACAUUAAUAGAACAUUUUAACACACAAAUACAAUCAAGAUUUCAAGAGAUUGUAAUAGACGGAUGUAAUCAGGGUAAGUAGGCAACUAAAUCUCAGAGAGUGACACAACAGAGAGAUCAUAUAUAACAACCUCAGGAUGAUGCACAACAUGCUCCAUCUGCUUCAGUCACUUUCAAAUUUCCUCAAGAUUUUCCCCACAAAAUGACAUUUAUGUGAACCUAUAAACUAGACAAAAUAAAGAAUGAACAGAAACAUUAAGGAAUGAACAUUGCACCAGAGUUAGCAGCUGCAAACAUAAACUAUAAUCUAGAGUGCUUAAGCAGAAAAAUCACAUAGACUGAAUUGAUUGAAAGUCUUGUGUUUACAAUAUUGUUGACCUUAUUCUUGUGGAAGGCUUUGAUGGGUCCACAUAGAGCUGAAUAGCAGACAAAUAAGGAACAUAGCACAUAACAGAGUCACUCCCAUUUUGUGACCCAUGCACCGUACGCACUCCAGUCCUUGAAAGACUCCCAUAAAUCUCCAUGUACAAAGUCGGGAUGUAACUCUGGCUCAUGAGUCCUCCAUCUCCUCACUCUUGUCUAUCCAUCACCAAAAUGGGACCUUAUGAGAAAAGCAUGUAUAAUUACAGUAACAAUAAAUAUUAUACCAGGUAGAAAACUUGAAAACCCAAUACGUAUAAUUCUUCAAGUAGAAAACUUUAACUAAAGUUAGACAGACAAGUUGUAUUGAGCUCAGUUUGGAGUGUUUAGAAGUGAUAAAGAUAAUCCAAUACUCAUAGUACUUUCUCAUCUUCCUCUGAUUCUAAAAAUAAAUAGUAUACAUGUACACAUACACGUCUCUUCUUCAGUUAGACUCUCAUAGUACUUUAUAAAUCUCUCCUCUGAAGGAGAAAUAACACACAAGAUUUAACAAAAUGGCAAGACAAAAAAAAAAUAGAAAAUACAAAGAACAGAAAAUAAAUAAAUAAAUAAAUAAACCCAGGAGAUUUGUACCAUUCCAAAACCCUUUAUCUGUUCAUGCCUUUGUAAAAAUUUACAAUUUAGGUUAUACACAAGAAUUCAUAUAAAGCAAAUCGAAGAUAUAAAUAAGCUACAAACCAAACAUAACCCAAAUGAAAAUUAAUCCCUAAUUUUCAGUAACAGGACAAAAAGGGAACUCAAUUACCCGAUUGCAGAUAUCGAAGAUGAGCAACUCCAAAUCAGAGCGAGCCAACGGUCUGCGUCUGUGCAGUGGCGUGAGACAUCGAGUAGGCGGCGAGGGCGGUCCUCAGAUGCCCAGCCCUAAAAGUUACUGAUAUGAGAGAGAGAGAGAGAGAGAGAGAGAGCUUUUGCCAUGGAGGCUUGAGGGAUGGUUAGAGUUUAGAUUUCGUGGGUCUUUGAUGGAAUUUUUAAGAGUAGAGAAAAAUUUGGAGAUUGGGUUGUGAGUCGUGACGAUGGAGAGAGAGAGUUUUUAAAAGAUGUAGAGAGCUUGUCAAAUGUUUAGAACAUUUCAGAUUUUGAGAGAAAGUGAGUCUCUUUUUUUUGUUUGAAUGAGAGGGAUUUUUUCCCGCAAAAAAUUUGGCUCUUUUUUUUUUAAUCAAUUUUUUUCCCCUUUUUUUUUAUUAUUAUAGAAAAGUGAUAUAGUUUUGACAACAUACUAUGCGUAUUGUUGAACUAAAUAUACAAUAAGAAGCCAAAGUGCAUUGUCAAAAAAAUCUCUAAAUUUCGUUUCAACAACGUGCCGUAAAUACACGUUGUUAAACUCUAUGUACUACAACAUACUAUUGCAGCACGUUGUGAAAGCCCAUCUCCACAACUCACAACCUAUGCAUGCACGUUGUUAAUGACAUGUUGUUGUAGAACAUUUUUCUUGUAGUGCUAUUUGAGUGUUAAUAAAUAAAUAUUUUGGUUCUUGCCUUCUUACGUUCAGUUAUGGUAGUCGUUUAGGCCAAAGCUUGAGAUCACAAAAUGCUUGCAUGGAAGAUCUAAAUAAAAGCUAAUGGAGAAGCACGUUACAGCUCUUCAUUUAUUCUCUAUAGUUUAAGGGCAAUACAUUUUCAUGCACGAUAGCAUACAACACACGACUUUUGCAUGCUAACUAGGGCUAAAGCUGAAUUUGGGAUUUAAAAUCCACCACCACCAGCACCGCCACCAAAUCCACCACCAGCACCGCCGCCAGCUCCUCCUCCUACACCGCCGCCUUUGCCACCCGCGGAAAGCCUCCACCACCACCACCACCUGCACCACCUCCA
Molecule: long non-coding RNA, 65891 nt
Filed under: Prunus persica (peach)
Lineage: Eukaryota; Viridiplantae; Streptophyta; Magnoliopsida; Rosales; Rosaceae
Source: RNAcentral